RNAcentral lists this long non-coding RNA (69483 nucleotides) under Capsicum annuum. RNAcentral describes it as "long non-coding RNA (CANN_LNC007502)". The record is from RNAcentral. Lineage: Eukaryota; Viridiplantae; Streptophyta; Magnoliopsida; Solanales; Solanaceae.
CUCCUUUUCCUAAUAUGAACCUUGAGUCAUCAAAGCCUUUCUGACCAGCCUGGCCCGAUCACCCUACGUGAUUGGUGCUUCAAAAGACGAAACUCUCAAUCGUAGUUUGGUAGGCCACUCUAUGCGACUGGAACUUCAAAAGACGAAACUUUCGAUCGUAGUUUGGCGACCUAUCUUUAGUAGGGCCUUUAGUCUUUUGAUUAGAGUAGGGGUUGCAAAAAAGCAGAGCGUGCCACUUAGCCAUAGUCACUCAAAAAAUAAAUGAAAUGCCUAGUAACUGAACUAUCAGCUCCAGCAUGUCAUAAAUGACUUGAGGUAGCUAUGAGAAAGAUAUAAAUGGCCAAAUAGUGCAAAAUUUAGAAAAUAAGCUGGAGUGUCAUUAAAACCUUCAACAUGGAGCCUUCCUCUUUUGAACGGUCUUAGAAUGAGAUAAGACAUAGAAAUAUAGAAUUUGCUAAAACUUACAAAUAUAGAAUCUAUACGUUAAAAGGAAGCUAAUGAUACCCAUAUCAUUUAUAUUUAAGAUGGGUCGAAAAUGAGUUAAAAAAAACAGUCUAAAAUGAAAGGACUAAAAUCAGAAUUUUAUUUUAGAAAUAUGUUACCAAGAUUAUAGGAGUCUAAGUUGAAAAUUCAAGUGAAAACGAGUAAAAAAUGAGGCUUAAAUUGAAGGGGAAAAAACCAUUUUAAAGCUUUACUGAUAAAAGUUCUCGUAUUCUAGUUUGAAAUCAUGAUUAAAAGGCAUUUUCAAAGAUAUAAUCAAUAGAAAAUGAAAGAACAAUGAAUUAGAAUCUUACCCAAGCAAGAAUAGUGAGGAAAAAUCCUAGAAAUCGCCUAUUCCUGAAGCUCCAAGUUCAAAAAAUGUUGGAAAUCGCGAAAAAAAAAGAAGCAUUUAUACUGUUCAGUGAAUAAUACUUUGUGAUCGCAAUUCCCACCUCGCGAUCGCGAAGGUGAACAUUCACUAGAACUUAAGUUGGCCACCGUAGAGAGAGACUUUACGACCGCGAUGGUCAAACCCGACUCGGUCCAUCAAUUUACCUAUUGCGAUUGCGGCACCACCACCACGCAAUCACAAUGAAGGAGAUCAUCGAUGUUUGCGGUCAUGACAUGUGUUCAUGCAAUCAGGAUGAAGAACCUGAUGCACCAGAAAAUGCAACAUCAUCAGAUUUUCCAAGUAAAAGAAAUCACUUCGAACGGUCCCUCUCGGGACCCCACAGAAACAAAUCAUAACUGUAAAAGAUUCUGAAUAUUAACCAACCCCUCUACUCACCCAAAAUUGAUGUUCUGUAUCUAAUGAAAAUGUCCAAAUCGCCGUUAGAUACUCAAAUCAUAAAAUAUUGAUUGAAGUCAAAUUCAUGGCUUUCAAAGACUCUAAAAGUCUCCAACUCUGAAAUCAUUUCAGAAUGCAUGGGAGAUUGUGCUAACCAUCCCCACACCUCACAAUCUGCUUGUAACGACUGUGAGAAAAGCCACAAUAAUCAAAACGUACACAUAAAAAUUGAAAAUUUUACAUAGCAGGUUGUUACAAGUAGCAGGGUUAGUAAUUCUAGGACUGCGUCCACAGGUAGGAGACUCUAGCAGGAGAAUUUGGGUGGGGUGGGUGUCUUUAGGCUUGUGAUUGUAUGUUACUACUAGGUGGGUGUCCUAUUUCUUAUUUCUUACUUCCUAUUUCGUAUUUAGUAUUGCUCGUAUUUCUCUUAUUUAGUAUUGCUCGAUCAGGAGGUAACGGGUUCGAGCCUCUGAAACAGUCUCGUACAGAUAUGCAAGGUAUGGUUAUGUACGAGCUAGAACUUUGUUGACCAGGCUGCCCUUCUAUUGGCUUCAACAACAAUUACUUUCCUCAUAAAUCUGUUAUAGUUCUCUGAGUUUACGCCCCUUGUACAGUCAAACAGUGAGAUUUAUUGUAACCAUCUAGCAUACCUGAAAGCAAUUAAUUUAUAUAAUAUUAAGAGGAAUUAACACCUUGCAAACAAUAAUACUAAGAGGAAACAGUGAGAUUUAUUGCAACCAUCUAGCAUUUCUGAAACAAAUCAAGUGCUAAAACAAAACAAAACAACAAUCAUGUGAUUUGGAACAACAGAUUCCAAAUACAUGCUCAACAUGCAAGGAGUUGAAUCUCGAUCUUCUGCAGCAUCCCUACAACAUCUUUCAUGUUUGUCCUUCUUGCCGGAGAUUCAGCGCAACAAUCUAAUGCUACUUUCAUGAUCGAAGCCACAACAUCUAGCUCCUUCUGUAAGUGAUUACCCAUUGGUGUUACCAAGUUGACAUCUACAACGUCCAUUACUGCCUCUGGGAGUGAANNNNNNNNNNNNNNNNNNNNNNNNNNNNNNNNNNNNNNNNNNNNNNNNNNNNNNNNNNNNNNNNNNNNNNNNNNNNNNNNNNNNNNNNNNNNNNNNNNNNNNNNNNNNNNNNNNNNNNNNNNNNNNNNNNNNNNNNNNNNNNNNNNNNNNNNNNNNNNNNNNNNNNNNNNNNNNNNNNNNNNNNNNNNNNNNNNNNNNNNNNNNNNNNNNNNNNNNNNNNNNNNNNNNNNNNNNNNNNNNNNNNNNNNNNNNNNNNNNNGAGAACACCUUUGUAAACAGAGCCAAAACAUCCAAAACCAAUCAGAUUACACUCACUAAGGUCAUCCGUUGCUUGGAGCAGUUCAUAGUAUGAAAUUCUUUCUCGUGUUACCGUAGAAAAUGACUCAGCUUGUUGAAGAGCACUUUUACCUCUUCCAUACCUUGUCCAUAGGAGCACAAAGGCCAUAGUAACAAAUACAACUGCAAUUACGAGCAAAAGAAAAAGAACUAGCAAUUUUUUCCUAUUUGAUCUGUUCUUUGAUGAAGUGGGGCAUGGCAGGACACUAAAUCUUGAAGAACCACACAAUGCUUCAUUGUAGAUGAAAAACAGACUCAAGAGGUUCUUCAAAGGACCUCCCAAGGGUAUUUCAUCAUACAAUUUGUUGACAGAAACAUUGAAAUACUACAAGUUUUGAAGUUUCUCCAAAGACUUAGGAAUGAUUCCAGAUAUAUUGUUAUGAGAAAGGUCUAGGAAUUCCAAUCCUACCAUGUUGCUCAUUGAGUCAGCUAUAGCUCCUUCUAACUUGUUGUGUCUCAAAGAAAGAUACGCCAAAGUUUGCAAGCCUCCAAUUUCUCUAGGAAUUUCAUUUGAGAAUUGAUUCACUGAUAGAUCUAUCAGUGUCGCAACCUUUAGAUUUCCAAUUUUUGGAGGUAAAGAACCUACCAUAUUGUUUGACGAUAAGUCAAGAACCACUAGAUCUUGAAGGUUCCCUAAGCUUGGUGGUAUAUUGGAGCUCAAUUUAUUGGAACCCAGAUGUAUCUCCCUGAGGGAAGUAAUAUUCCCUAAACAAUUAGGAAGAGAUCCUAAAAGUUAAUUUUGACCCAAGUAAAUAUCACCCAGAUGCUGCAAUUUACAUACAUGAUCUCCAAUAAGUCCUGUUAAUUUGUUGUCACUCAAGUUGAAGCGCUGAAGGUUUCUCAAGUUGCCAAUUGAUGUUGGAAUCGAUCCGACCAAGUUAUUUCCAGAAAGAUGAAGGUCUAAUAAACUGCUAAAGUUCCCAACUUCAUUUGGAAUUCGCCCUUUGAUUUUGCAAUUUUUGGCGUAAAAUUUUCUGAGAGAGGUGGAAAGAUUCCCCGUGGCGGCUGGAAGCAUUCCAUUUAGAGUGUUUAAAGAUAGAAAAAGAAGUUUUAAAUUUCUGCAAUAGGUUAAGGAAGUCAGGAAGCUUAAUGAUGAAUCGCUGGUCAAAUUGUUUCCCUCUAAAUUUACUAAUUGUAGAUGAGUCAAAUAUCCAAGUGAGUUGGGAAUCAAGCCAGUGAGUUUGUUGCCUGAAAGUUCUAGAAUAGUAAGUUUUGAACAAUUGGAGAUGGAAUGAGGAAUAGUCCCAACAAGAUUGGUUAAGUUCCUCAGAUAAAGCUCUUCAAUGUUGGGUAUGACAGAACACAUGUUUGGUGGGAGGGUUCCUGAUAGACUGUUGACUGAAAGAGAAAUCACUGUCAGCCUUGAUAUGUUGAAGAUCUCCAUAUCAAGUGAACCACUAAAUCUAUUAUACGGAAGAUAAAGUUCCUCCAACUCAAUGAGAUUGCUUAUCUCUUUGGGUAUUUCACCUGGAAACACACAUAGUGGAUUACUAGUGAGUUGGUUCAAUCUAUUUUUGCAAAGAUAUAAGAGUUGCAUCUUGUUUAAGUUGUCAAUUUCCCAUGGUAGAGUCCACUAAGAUUUUAACAUUUAUAUUGUUGACCAUACGAAAGUAUUAAAAGAAAAAAGAAAAAAAAUAAGUAUAGAAGAUAAAAACAUACCUGUGAAAUCAUUUUUCGAUAAAAACAAUUCUGGAAGUUGUGAACAAUUUGAUAAGCUUGUAGGAAUAUGACCAUGAAGCUUGUUUCUCACUAAAGAAAGCCCUUUGAGUAUUGGGAGACCAUUUCAUAUAAGUUUCAAUGUCUAUUUGUGCACAUCUAAAGUUGGAGGUCAUAGAUGUGAUAUGAAGACAAGUUAAGGAUAUGUUUAUUGUCUAUAUUUUACAAGAAAUUUUAAGAGUAGUUUCGUAUGAACUUUCUUCUAAUAAAAGAAUAUAUAAAAUUGUAAAAGAUCAAAAAUGUACCAAGCCUUGCAACUGUAAAUGUGGUGUCAAAUUUAUUCCUCUAAUCAGUCCAAAAGACUUCCAAGUUGCAUUCUACAAAAGUAAUGUAUAUUAACUAUAUAGAGAAUUUUAUGUGAUAGUAUAAUUAAUUAAUUCUAUUUUCUUUUUAGGUAAUAUAAAACACUGUCAAUUUUAUUUUUAUAAAAAAUUAAAGUCAUAAUACAUAAACAGAACCUUUAAUUUGACACCAAAUUAUAACUAUACCCUUUAACUUUGCUAGUGUAUAAGUAAGCCCUAUAACUAUAUAAAAGUUGAACAAAAAAACACUACAAUUUUGCAACUUACAAUCGUGAAACUCAAUCGCUCCUGUGUGGAUUAGUAAUCCACUCAGCUGCCACCUAAUGAAAAUGACACAUUAUAACUAUGACCUUUAACUUUUCCUGCACAAGUAGGUCUUUUAACUAUACAAAAGCUGAAAAAAAAACACUUCAAUUCUAACUCUGACGCACGUGGUUUUGAGUGUACACAGGCAAUCUUUCAAGGAUUUUUAUCUCCAGAAUUUGAAGAACUAGUAGGUGAUAUUUAAUUUCCAUAAAAUGGGCAAAGAAUGCAAUUUUAGACUUGACUCGCCUUUUCCUUGUUCUGUAGCAAUCUUAUAAUUAUUAUUGUCCUGUAGAUACUGAUUACUUAUAUAUUUAUAAUAUACGCUAAGCUCAAUAUGCUAAAUUGUGCUAAAGUAUUAAUUUCUUGCUAAUGGAGUUUGACGCUUUAAGAACAAAACAAUGCAGUUGGAAAGGAGAGAGGAGAAAAUUUUUGAUGAUGAAUUAUGUAUGAAUCUUGAACUGAAUUUGAAAAAUGAUUUUUGUUUUUAUCGCACUAAAACAAUUUCGCGUAAACUCUUGAUUACUUAUAAUGUUCCUCUCAGCACUAGUGCUAAAUGGUCCAUCUUACACAACUUUAACGCCCUGCAAUUCAGGCUACAAUAUAGACCAUGAUUUCGAUGCGUUGCUAAUCCCAAAGCCAUAAAUCCUAUGCCAAUAUAGCAUGUUAAUUAUUGUGUAGUAGGUGAAUCCGCUCAAGCUUGAAUUUAGACCAUAGAGGUCCUUCAACUCAAGGACGAGUUGAAACUAUUUCGAUCGACUAAGUUUUAGUCGACGUUGUAAAGUGUGUCAGCUUCCAUAGACCAUAACUCUCUUUAUAUAUUGAAUUAGGAAGCCUACUAUGUGUCAAAUGAUAGGUAUUCGAGUUAUCUUUCCAACGAUACCAAUUUGGCUAAAAUCCGACACCCGAGCAAAAAGUUAUGGCCUUUCAAAUUGAUAAGCGUCGCCUAACAAAUCGCCCAUGGCCACUGGAAAGCAUAGGCAAUAGACUAGGCGGCGCCUAUGUAAACAUAGGCAAUAGACUAGGAAGCGCCUAUGCACACAUCUGUGAACAUAGGCGAUAUCCUAGGCGGCGCCUAUGUGAACAUAGGCAACGGGAUGGGCGGCGCCUAUGUAAGGAAUUCUAGUGAUUUAAACACUCCGUGUUGAGGACAAAGUGGUCCUUUUCCACCCUUACUUAGCCCUAAAACACGAGAUUUAGUUCCAAGGACCCCAAAAUACAUAUUAUUUCAUCAAAAGUGCUCAAGAUUAUUCUUAGGGUUUCAAAAUAAAAAACCCAAAUAGAUCAAGAUUUCACCGUAGGUUUUCAAAGAUAAUUACAUAUUUGGAAUCAACAAUCCGCAAGCUUCAAGAAACACCUAAUAUCCUUGGAAAUAGAGGUAUGUGGGGUUAUUCAAAAAUCUCAUGGGUGUAAUUUUUAUUAACAUGCAUGCUUUUAAAUGGGGGUUUUCAAUCAAAUGCUAAUAUCUUGCUUUUAAUACGAUUUCUAAGUCGUUUUCUUUAUGUCAUGGGAAUUGUUUGCCUAUAUACUUCAAUGGUUGAAACCAUGCAUAUGUGAUUUGAAAUUUUCCAUGGAAGUUUGAUAAAUAUGAAUGAUAAAUUGUUUUCAAAUUCCCAUGAUAAUGUUUCGAUACUCCAUAUUAUAUUGUGAUCAACAAAAGAGAGCAUGAAUUUGAAAUUACUAUUGCUCACCACUUGUAAAUGAUGAAGCACCUUGGUUUUUACAUUAUUAUGCAUUUGUGUAUUUGAUAUUGAUGACUUGCAAGUUGGGUAUGACGAUACCCUACACAAUAUGACAUGUGAUUGAAUAAGAUGAAAUUUGAAUGCAUUGAUUUCACAUGAGAAAGGUGGAUGCCCGAAGAAGGCAUUUGAUACACAAGGGCUCAUCGCUGGAAAAACGGUUUUGCCGACACAGAAUAUUGGUACCAGGCUAAGUGAUCUUGUGUACUUGACUUCAUGUCAUUCCCAAAUUGGGACUAUAGGUAGGAGCAGGAGCCAAGUGAUCUUUGGCACUACCAUUGGGUCGAUACACCAUGCUGUGUGAUCUUGUGUGUCUCUCCCUCACUUAUACUCUAAUCUCGGUGGCAACCAAGGUUUGCAAGUUGGUGUAAAUUAUGUAGGGUAUUCCACCUAGCUCAGUUGUAUUUCAUUACUGUUGGGAAAAACUAUUGCAUUACACCCAUGUGCUUUCAAAUGAUUUGAUACAAAAUUGCUUUAUAAUGGCUCUCAACUAUAUUUUGUAAAAAUAUUAUGUUUUGCUUUGAUAUCUCUGCGUGCCAGUACUUUUGUACUGACCCCCUCCCCUCUCCAACCUCUCAUGUACAGAGGCCCAGUCUAGGGGUCAAGAGAACUAGUAGAUCAUUCAGAAAGAGUUGCAGAGACAAGUGGUGAGCCUUCGAUAUUUCGAAAGGUUUUAUUUCCUGCAGUCCUAUCAUCAUAUUCAGUUUUAGGGUCUGCUGGGGGCCUUGUCCCAGUUUUCAGAUAGACAUUGUUUCAGUCAUGUAGUAGAGAUUUCGCAGACGAUUUUUGAGAUGUUGAUUGAGAUUAUGGGACAUUAUUCCCCAUUAUUGUUUUCAUAUGAUUCUUGACCAUGUUUCCGUUAUAUUGUGUUUCUUCUGCAUUACUUCGAUCAUAUGAAUUAGGUGCAUGAUUACCAGAUAGAUAGGGGUGUUUUGGGCCUCCAUGGUUCGAAAUGCUCAUCACGGCCAGUCCUUGGUUCAGGUCGUGACAAACUUUAUAUCAAAACAUGGUUCAUGGUCCCAGGGUGUCUGCGAAAUUGCGUUAGGUAGAGUCUUGUUUAUAGGUGUUUAGCGCGCCAUACUUAUAAGUAGGACGCUGCUAGGCAUUUAGGAAAUAUUUCCCUUCUUUGUGAUUUAGUUCAUGCUUCAGAAUCUGAACUGUCCACUUAUCAAUGAUCACUUAUAUUUCAGAAACACAGUUAUGCCUCCAUGUCGUAUCAUCGAUCAGAAUGCUCAGGCUGAUGAGGUCCAUCCCACCCAUGGGAUGCGGACCCGUAAUAGGGCUCACACUUUUGAAUUUUUCCCUACUCCGAGAGUCCCUCCAGUCCCGACCAGUCCACCUCAGGCUCCGCGGACUAAUUCCAACCAUCCCCCAACUACUCAGGGACAUAUUUCAAAUGCAGAAUUCAGACGGUCUAUUCAUAUGGUGACACAGUUGGUAGCUAACCAGGCUCAAUGAUCGAAAGAUAUUGGUUCUGCAUCUGUUACAUCUGAGGCUAUUAGAGUCAGACAUUUCAUGAAGAUGAACCCACCUAAGUUCACUGUCACCAAGGUGGAGAAAGAUCCACAGGAGUUCGUGGAUGAGAUGGAAAAGAUCUUUAAGGUGAUGCAUAUGGAUGAGGUUGAAGGUGUGGAGCUAGCAACCUAUCAGCUCAAGGAUGUUGCAAAUCAGUGGUAUGCCGACUGGGAAGAUGAAAAAGGUGAAAGUGCUGAGCCCACAGUUUGGGGCAAAUUUGUGGAAGGUUUCCUUGAUCGAUUCUUUCCUCUGGAGUUGAGGGAGGCCAAAGCGGACGAGUUUAUGAAUCUGAAGUAGGGCAGUAUAAGUGUCCAGGAGUACACUUUGAAGUUUAAUAAACUAGCCCACUAUGCACUAGAGUUGAGUAGUAAUAUGAGGGCCCGGAUGAGGAAAUUUGCAUUUGGCCUUACUGAUGACCUUGUACUUGAGUUCCAGGGGGCUAUGUUGAAUAAAGAGUUAGACUUUGCACGACUGACCGUUCAUUUACAUCAAGUAGAAGUGAAGAAGAAAAGGAUUGCAGAAUCUAGAGAGAAAGACAGAUAGGCUAAGAGUUCUAGAUGUGUAGACUAGCACCAGAGUCAGUCGCAGAGUGGUAACUGGGGUAAUAAGUGGUCAAAGAAGAAGAAGUUUUGGAAUAAUGCAUAGUCAGAAGCCAGCGCCCCAGCACCCUGACCAGCGACAGACAGACAAACUCAGAGUUUUCAGACUCUUCAUGGGUCCAAAGCUCUAGGUACACAGUCUCAGGGCAGUGUGGCCCAACAGCAUUGUACUAGUCUGCUGUGUGAGGUUUGUGGAAGGAAUUAUCUAGAGAAGUGAUAGUUUGAGGGAAGAAACUGCUAUACUAGUGGCAAAGUGGGUCACCUUCAAAGAGAUUUUCCAUCUGCUGGAGUAACUGCGGGGGAGGGGGGGACUAAGUCCCAAGCCGCCUCCACAGCUCCUUUUCCUAAGGGUUCCCCUUCAACUGCCGAAAGCAGUCGCAACCGAUUAUACUGUUUGACUAAUCAACAGGAGGUGGAAUCUUCACCAGAUAUUGUCACCGGUAUCUUAUGAAUCUUUUCUCGUGAUGUUUAUGUAUUGCUUCAUCCCGGGUCUACUUUAUCUUAUGUGACCUCUUAUAUGGCUGUUGGUUUCGGGUUUGAGCCCUAAGUUAUUAUAGAACCCUUCUCUAUUUCUACUCCUGUAGGUGAUUAUGCUGUUGCUAGAAGGGUAUAUAGAAAUUAUGUCAUGUAUAUUCAUAGUAGGGAAACUGUGGCAGAACUUAUAGAAUUGGAUAUGAUAGACUUUGAUGCCAUCCUUGGGAUGGACUGGCUCCAUUCGUGUUAUGCCACACUUGAUUGUAGAACCCAAAAGAUCAAGUUUUGUUUUCCGAACAAGACACCAGUUGUAUGGGCAGGGAGUUUUAUGGAACCUAGAGGUCACUUUAUCUCUUAUCUUAGAGCCCGAAAGCUUAUCUCUAAAGGCUAUAUGUAUCAUCUAAUCCGAGUAAAAGAUUCAAAAGUUGGAAACCUUCCUCUGCAGUCAGUCCCUGUAGUGAAUGAAUUCCCAGAACUCUUUCCCGAAGAUCUCCCAGGGAUUCCCCCGAUAGGGAGAUAGAUUUUGGCAUUUAUGUGUUGCCAGACACUCAUCCUAUUUCUAUUCCGCCAUAUAGAAUGGCUCUCGUAGAACUAAAGGAGUUAAAGGAACAGCUUGUAGACCUCCUAGACAAAGGUUUUAUUCGUCCAAGUGUUUCCCCAUGGGGUACACCCGUGCUUUUCGUGCGAAAAAAGGAUGGGUCCCUUCGGAUGUGCAUAGACUACCGUCAGUUGAAUAAGGUCACAAUUAAAAAUCGACAUCCUUUUCCUACGAUUGACGACCUUUUUGACCAGCUUCAAGGUGCCAAGUUCUUUUCAAAAAUAGACCUUCGUUCGGGUUAUCAUCAGUUGGCAGUUAGGGAGUCAGACAUAGCCAAGACAGCCUUCCGAACCCGAUAUGAUCACUACAAAUUUCUAGCCAUGUCCUUCAGGUUGACUAACGCCCCAACAGCCUUUAUAGAUCUUAUGAAUACAAUGUUCUGUCAGUUUCUUGACUUGUUAUUCAUUGUAUUUAUUGAUGAUAUUCUGAUCUAUUCUAAGAGUAAAGAGGAUCACGCCAAUGUAACUCCCCGAAAAAUGGGUCCCGAAGCGUCACACGGUGCAUGAGGCUAUGAGUAGCCCCAAGCCAACCCUUUGAGCCAUUUUCAUUCAAUUCAACACAAAUCAACGGUGUUUCUAUAAGUAACCCUCAAAUAUAAAAAGAGUAAUCAUCAUUCAAGAAUAAAAGAAUUUCAGAAAGAUAACAGAAUAUGAAUUAUUAGUCAACUCCCAACAACUAUUCUAGUCUGACAAGCCUCUAAGAAAAUCAAUAAAGCCAGCGAGCCAUUGAGACAUGCCCCAACUGACUCAUACUCAGUUAUCAAAUGUAAAAAAUUUCGUGAAACCAACAUCAAACAUCACGUCCUCUGAACAUGAGGACUCACCACAACAUAGGAUGUAGAACAGCGUGCCCGAAGAAUCACUGUCGAAUCUGGAACUGAGCACCUGAACCUACAUUCCGAGAAAAUGCAGCCCAUAUCUGAAGAUGUAGGUCAGUACUAGGAAAAGGAACCGAGUAUAUGGGGGUGUAUGCAGUUGUAUAAACAUCAUCAUCAUAAAUAUUUAUAAGAAAUAUGCAGGAUGUAUGAAAGACUCGCAUAGCCUGAAGAAAAUCAUCCUAAUCAUUAGAGGAUGAAAUAAGUACAAUAACACAUGUGAGUCAUCAUAUAAUUUGUCAAUCAUUUUCAGUUCAUCAAGAAUAUCAAUUAUCAUAAUGUAAAUAUCAUUUAAAUCUUUCAAAAGAAUAACUUUCACAAUUCCACUUUCAAAUCGCUUCACCAUUCACCAUAGACACAAGGAAACACACACACACUGGGAGAUCCUAUAACCGACAUAAACCAUGUGAGCUACAUGGAGCCCAACGUACAACCCACGUUGGGGAGAGCCGUCCUAUCCUUNNNNNNNNNNNNNNNNNNNNNNNNNNNNNNNNNNNNNNNNNNNNNNNNNNNNNNNNNNNNNNNNNNNNNNNNNNNNNNNNNNNNNNNNNNNNNNNNNNNNNNNNNNNNNNNNNNNNNNNNNNNNNNNNNNNNNNNNNNNNNNNNNNNNNNNNNNNNNNNNNNNNNNNNNNNNNNNNNNNNNNNNNNNNNNNNNNNNNNNNNNNNNNNNNNNNNNNNNNNNNNNNNNNNNNNNNNNNNNNNNNNNNNNNNNNNNNNNNNNNNNNNNNNNNNNNNNNNNNNNNNNNNNNNNNNNNNNNNNNNNNNNNNNNNNNNNNNNNNNNNNNNNNNNNNNNNNNNNNNNNNNNNNNNNNNNNNNNNNNNNNNNNNNNNNNNNNNNNNNNNNNNNNNNNNNNNNNNNNNNNNNNNNNNNNNNNNNNNNNNNNNNNNNNNNNNNNNNNNNNNNNNNNNNNNNNNNNNNNNNNNNNNNNNNNNNNNNNNNNNNNNNNNNNNNNNNNNNNNNNNNNNNNNNNNNNNNNNNNNNNNNNNNNNNNNNNNNNNNNNNNNNNNNNNNNNNNNNNNNNNNNNNNNNNNNNNNNNNNNNNNNNNNNNNNNNNNNNNNNNNNNNNNNNNNNNNNNNNNNNNNNNNNNNNNNNNNNNNNNNNNNNNNUUUAAUAUAGGGUUUGGAUGGAUUUUGGGUGAGGGGGAAUGACCAAAAUGCCCCUAAAAAUUAAAAAAAUUCUCGAAUCUGUUCUUUGGUGGACUAUUUUGAUAGUCUAAAGUAGAUCAACCAUAACGUUUUACUCCGAUAUCCAAUUUGGAUGAAGCCAAUUUCAUUAGAAAGAGGAAUCUCAUAUAUUUCCAUUGAUAUAUAGUAUCUCACCCAGAUCAUUGUGUACGAGGAGUUAUGAUCGUUUGAAGUUGACCCAAAAAUUCACUUUUGAUAGGUUGAAGUAGAUUGACCAUAACUUUUUUCUCCGAUAGACAAAUUUGAUGAAACCAAUUUCAUUGGAAAGAGGACUCACAGAGAUUUAUGUUGAUAUAUAGUAGAUUACCCUGAUCAUUAUGUACAAGGAGUUAUGAUCAUUUAAAGUUGGAGCAAAAAUACGCCAUGCCUCAGUACUUUUUCCACGUUCUACUGUUCACUACUAUUCACGGUUCGAUCGGAAUUUUCAUAAUUCGUCGCUCGAGUGUCUGUUUUGGAUGAUCCAUAUAUCGUUGGAAAUCUUAUUCGAUACUCUACGCAAUGCUGGUUUAUAAUAUAAGACAUUCCAUAUGGAAAAUUUAUAAUUCAUUCUAGAAGAUAUAACCCAACACGUUUACGCAUAAAAUUUCAACGAAAAAUUUCCUGGGGUAUUACAUCAUCCCCCCUGGAAACUUUCAUCCUCGAAUGACGCUAGACAUGCUAAGAUUAGAUAGGGAAUAGAGUAUACAGCUGAAACCAUUCAUUAGACUCAUCACCAUAUCGUUUCUCACUCCGAAUGCAACAUAGAAAGCAUAAAUUCAAGAAACUACAGCUGAACACAUAAUAAAUGACAGCUGAAUUGCUGCAAAUUUUAUCAAAAGUGCAUGAUUUAGGAAAUAACGGUACCUUCGGUUUGAUCGGAGUUCGUGGAGAAUAGGUGCGGGUACUUGGAUCGUAUAUCCGCCUCAACUUUCCAAGUUGCACCCUCAACAGAUUGGUUUCGCCGCAACACCUUGACCAAGGAAACUUCUUUGUUCCUUAGUCUUCGGACAGUGAAAUCAAGAAUCUCAACAGGAAUCUUAUCAAAAGAAAGAUUUUCUUGAAUGUCAGCACUCAUAGAGGAAUCCACUACCACAGCAUCGCUAAUAUGCUUUCUAAGUAUGGAGACAUGGAAUAUUGGAUGAGCAGGGGACAACUCGGAAGGCAACUCGACCUCAUAAGCUACCUUACAAACACGGCUAAGAAUUUUGUAAGGACCAACAUAACGGGGACUAAGCUUCCCCUUCUUUUCGAAUCUCUUCACCCCUCUCAUGGGUGAAAUUUUUAGAUACACUAGGUCACCAACUUCAAAUUCAAGGUCUCUCUUUCUAACAUCCGCAUAUGACUUCUGACGACUCUGCGCAGUUUUCAACCUUUCCCUAAUCAACUUAACUUUUUCCAUAGCUCAAAUACCGAAUCAGGACCAUUCACAGCCGCUUCACUCACCUUGAACCAACCUAUGGGUGAUCUACAUUUCCUCCCAUAUAAGGCUUCAAAUGGAGCCAUGCCAAUACUAGAGUGGAAACUGUUAUUGUAAGCAAACUCUAUCAACGGUAAGUGGUCAUCCCAACCUCCCUUAAAGUCAAGUGCAAAAGCUCUCAACAUAUCCUCUAAGGUCUGGAUGGUCCGCUCAGCCUGACCAUCGGUCUGCGGAUGAAAAGCAGAACUCAAAAGCACUUGGGUACCAAGACCCUUCUGAAAAGCUUUCCAAAAUUGCGAAGUGAACUGAGCACCCCUAUCCGAAAUGAUAGACAAGGGAACUCCAUGCAGUCUGACUAACUCUCAGAUAUACAAUCUAGCGANNNNNNNNNNNNNNNNNNNNNNNNNNNNNNNNNNNNNNNNNNNNNNNNNNNNNNNCAAAUGGAAUCAUGAUGACGUCGGGAAGGAGGUAAACCAAUCACGAAGUCCAUAUUUAUCUCUUCCCACUUCCAGGUGGGAAUACUAAACUCUUGCAUCAUACCACCAGGUCUUUGGUGUUCAACCUUAACCUGUUGGCAUGUUGUACGCUUACCUACAAACGCUGCUAUAUCUUUCUUCAUGUCACUCUACCAAUAGAUUUCCCGCAAGUCUCGGUACAUCUUGUUAGGACCAGGAUGAAUAGAAUAUCGUGCCCCGUGCGCUUCAGCCAUAAUCCUCUGUCUCAUAUUAUUAACAUUUGGGACAAACAAUCUACCCUGCAAUUUCAACACACCAUCUCCCCCUUGGGAGAAAAUCUCUACUUUUUGGUCCUUGACUGACUCCUUCAGUCUGACCAAACUAGCAACUAAGUAUUGUUUUUCCUUCACUUCCGAAACCAAGGAGGAUUCAGAACUACUCUGAACCCCUAUACUACCUUCAGCAGAGUCAAACAACCUAACCCCCAAUCUAAGCAAAUGAUGUACAUCACGAGUCAGCUCUUUCUUACCUUCUAUCACAUAUGAAACACUAUCCAUGGACACUCUACUUAGGGCAUCCGCCACAACAUUGGCCUUGCCCGGAUGGUACAACACACUCAUAUCAUAGUCCUUUAACAAUUCUAACCAUCAUCUCUUUCUAAGAUUUAAUUUUCUCUGGGUAAACACAUACUGCAGACUCUUAUGAUCAGUGUAAACAUCAACAUGGACACCAUACAAAUAGUGUCUCCAGAUUUUCAAAGCAAACACAAUAGCAGCCAACUCAAGGUCAUGGGUGGGGUAAUUUUUCUCAUGGGGUUUCAACUGUCUAGAAGAAUAAGCUAUCACCUUACCCUUCUGCAUCAAUAGGCAACUCAACCCAACUCUCGAAGAAUCACAGUACACCACAAAACCAUCAACAGCAUUAGGCAAAGUUAAAACAAGGGCUGAAGUGAGUCGAGUCUUCAACUCCUAAAAACUCUUCUCACAAGAUUUGGACCACAAGAACUUUACUUUCUUUUGGGUCAACUGAGUCAUAAGAGACGAUAUAGAGGACAAACCCUCAACAAAAUGGUUGUAAUAUCUAGCUAAACCCAAGAAACUUUGGAUAUCAGUCGGAGAAAUAGGUCCAGGCUAAUUUCUAAUAGCUUUGGUCUUUUGGGGAUCAACUCUAAUACCCUCUAAAGAAAUGAUAUGACCCAGAAAACCAACUGACCUUAGCCAAAACUCACACUUACUAAAUUUGGCAAAAAACUUGUGAUCUCUAAGAAUUUGUAAGACAGUUCAGAAUGAUCAGAAUGUUCAUCCUCACUACGGGAGUACACCAGUAUAUCAUCGAUGAACACUAUGACAAACAUAUCCAGAUAUGGUCUGAACACUCGAUUCAUGAGGUCCAUGAAAGCUGCUGGGGCAUUAGUUAACCCGAAAGACAUAACAAGAAACUCAAAAUGGCCAUAACGAGUUCAGAAAGUGGUUUUUGGGAUGUUACACUCCCUAACUUUGAGUUGAUGAUAGCCGAAACGAAGGUCUGUCUUUGAGAAAUAACUUGCACCUUGCAAUUGGUCAAACAAAUCAUCUAUUCUUGGAAGAGGGUACUUAUUUUUAUGAUGAUUGUAUUCAGUUAGCGGUAAUCAAUGCACAUGUGCAAAGAGCCAUCUUUCUUUCUCACAAACAAUAUAGGAGCACCCCAAGGAGAAACAUUGGGACUUAUAAAACCCUUAUCUAGUAGAUCUUUGACUUACUCUUUCAACUCCUUAAGUUCUGUAGGGGCCAUACGGUAAGGAGAAAUAGAAAUGGGCUGAGUAUUAGGAACAAGAUCAAUCCUGAACUCUAUCUCUCUAUCAGGAGGUAUCCCUGGAAGAUUAUUCAAAAAGAUAUUAGAAAACUCAUUAACGAUAUUAACAGACUGGAGAGUUGGAGUCUUAGACUUAAUGUCUUUGAAUCUAACCAAAUGGUAAAUACACCCCUUGGAAAUAAGCUUUCUACCUUUGAGGUAAGAGAUAAAAUGAAUCUUAGGUGACACAGAAUUCCCAGACCACUUAAACACGGAUGCACCCAGAAACUGAAACUUUACCACUCAGGUCCGACAAUCAAUAGAGGCAUGAGAAGAAUAUAGCCAGUCCAUACCCAGAAUCACAUCAAAAUAUACCAUGUAUAACUCAUUCAGAUCAGCUAACAAGACUCUAUGAAGAAUAGUAACAGGACAUUUUUUAUACACUUUCUGGGAAACAAUCGAAUCACCCACUGGGGUAGAAACUAGGAUAGGCUCAGGAAUAAUCUCAGGACUCAUUUCAAAAUUCACAGCAAUCAAAGGUGUAACAUAUAAGAAACUGGAUCCAGGAUUCAACAAAGCAUACACAUCAAACUGAAAUAUAUAAAGCAUAUCAGUAAUAACAUAAGGAGAGUCCUCAUAUUCCUGGCGGGAUGGUAAAGCAUAGAAUCUAUUUUGGUGCUUCCCGCCAGAAUUGCUAGAAGAGGCGCCCUGAGCUAGGACUGGGUGAGUCAUUAGAACUGGAGCACUAACAGUCUGAGUCUGGGUCUGAGGGCGAUAGUCACGACGACCUUGUCCAUCCUGUGGACAAUCUCUAAAUCUAUAACCCAUGUCACCACACCAGAAACAACCCCUCUUAUUACCCCAACACUCACUCUAAUGAUCCCUACCACACUUAGAACACAGGGGACGAUUUAGCUUACUGCCAGUACUAUAUUGGGACCUGGAUGCAUAUGACCAGCUACCUUGCUCCUGCCUACCUCUAAGUAUGGAAGCACUAGCAGAUGACGGUGCUGGCAUAGACGAAUAAUCCUGAUACUGUGGGUGACUCCCUCCCUGUGAUAUACUCUGACCAUGUCCGUGCUGCUCGAACCUAGCUCUCUUAUUCCCUCUCAUUCUAACUUUAUUCUUAAUCUUGUCUACCUCAAUUUGUUGGGCAUGAGUCAUCAACCUAGAAAGAUUCAUCUCACUAUACAGCAUAGCAGACCUACACUUCUUAACCACAUAACUAGACACUCUAGUCACAAACUUACUCAUACUAGACCAAUUAUCAACCACUAAGUCAGGAGCAUACUUGGCAACCUAAUUGAACUUUAGAAAGUACUCCCUAAAAGUCAUAGAGCCCUAUCGCAGGUUCAUAAACUCUUCCACCUUCGUCUCCCUCAUCUCCAAAUGGAAAAACUUAUCCAGGAAUGCAUCCUUGAACUCUUGCCAAGUUGUAGGGACAGCUCCUUCACCUCUACCUUUCCUCCAAGAAACAACCCAGUCAUAAACAAGGUCUUUUAACCUAUACGCAACCAACUCCACGCUAUAUUCAUUAGAUACAUGCAUCACCUGAGUAAUCUUCUGCACCUCCUCUAAAAACAACCGUGGAUCCUCAUCAGACUUGGACGUAUAGAAUUCCAGUGGAUUCAUCCGCGUAAAAUCAUAGAUCCUGGAAGUAGCUGAAUCACCUCCCUGCUGCUGUAGAGCCGAGGCCGAGUUGGCCUAAACAUUUGCAGUAACAGCUUAGGCCAGCGCCAGAAACGCUGCCCAAAAUUUAGUAUGAGACACGUUUUCAUUCCAUGGGUCAGCGGGUUGAGGUUGCUGACCAUCAUUAUUUCUUCUCACUCGACGUGGAGGCAUAUUUCUAAAAGAAGAGAGUGCAAAUCAAUAGCAGAGAGAGACACUUAAAGCACGAUAGACUUCUAAAAGAAAGAAUUAAACUUUUUCCUAAAACAUCUUGUAACCUCUUGCUCAUAGAUGUGGCGCGGUACCCACCAAUGAUCAAGACUCUACUUAACGCGGCUUGUUAGACUCCCUAGGAUACCUUAAAACCUUAGGCUCUGAUACCAAGUUUGUAACGCCCCAGAAAAUGGGUCCCGGAGCGUCACACGGCGCUUGAGGCUACGAGUGGCCCCAAGCCAACCCUUUGAGCCAUUUUCAUUCAGCUCCACACAAAUCAAUGGGGUUUCAUAAGUAACCCUCAAAUAUCAAUAGAGUAAUCAUCAUCCAAGAAUAAAAGAAUUUCAGAAAGAUAACAAAAUAUGACUUAUUAGUCAACUCCCAACAUCUAUACUAGUCUGACAAGCCUCUAAGAAAAUCAAUAAAACCAGCAAGCCAUUGAGACAUGCCCCAACUGACUCAUACUCAGUUAUCAAAUGUAAAAAAUUCCAUGAAACCAACAUCAGACAACACAUCCUUGGAACAUGAGGACUUACCACAAUAUAGGAUGUAGAACAGCGUGCCCGAAGAAUUACUGUCGAAUCUGGAACUGAGCACAUGAACCUAUAUUUCGAGAAAAUGCAGCCCACAUUUGAAGAUGUGGGUCAGUACUACGGAAAGGAAUCGAGUAUAUGGGGGUGUAUGCAGUUGUAUAAACAUCAUCAUCAUAAAUAUUUAUAAGAAAUAUGCAGGAUAUAUGAAGGGCUCACACAGCCUAAAGAAAAUCAUCAUAAUCAUGAGAGGAUGAAAUAAGUACAAUAACACAUGUGAGUCAUCAUAUGAUUUGUCAAUCACUUUCAGUUCAUCAAGAAUAUCAAUUCUCAUAGCGUAAAUAUCAUUUAAAUCUUUCAAAAGAAUAACUUUCACAAUUCCACUUUUAAAUCACUUCACCAUUCACCAUAGACAUAAGGAAACACACACACACUGGGAGAUCCUAUAACCGACAUAAACCAUGUGAGCUACAUGGAGUCCAACGUACAACCCACGUUGGGGAGAGCCGUCCUAUCCUUGCCAUCGGAGUAGGACUAUCGAUAUCAAAUCCACACAAACUAGUGAGCCGUCCUAUCCUUGCCAUCGGAGUAGGCUCACUCCUACGGGGGGGCAUGUAGUUCUAGGGAAGUAAGGUUGCUUUUUACCUCCCACCCAGUGCUAAAGAUUUCUCCCGGACUUAGCUCAGAUCAUUUCAAAGACAAUCCACAACAAAACAAUUUCAAUAAUAUAUAAAUAUACAUCGGGAGCCAUCAUGCUUCUCAUCUAUCAAAAUCAACCACGUUGUGGAUUUCUUUCACACUCGAGUUCAAAACAACUCCAUUAAGACCAAAAGGUCAAAUCAUUCAAAAUAUCUCAAAUAUGCAACAUCAACGUGCUUAUAACACACACUUUCUAAAAAAAAACACAAUUUUCAAUGGGGAUUCACGACCCAAAUAUCAAAUCAUGAUAACAUAUAAUGCUUCUAAUAGGCUUUAAUAUAGGGUUUGUAUGGAUUUUGGUUGAGAGGAAAUGACCAAAACGCCCCUAAAAAUCAAAAAAAUUCUUGAAUCUGUCCUUUGGUGGACUAUUUUGAUAGUCUGAAGUAGAUCAACCAUAACGUUCUACUCCGACAUUCAAAUUGGAUGAAACCAAUUUCAUUAGAUGAGGACUCUCAUAUAUUUCUGUUGAUAUUUAGUAUCUCACCCAGAUCAUUGUGUACGAGGAGUUAUGAUCGUUCGAAUUUGAUCCAAAAAUUGACUUUUGAUAGGCUGAAGUAGAUCGACCAUAACUUUUUUCUCCAAUAAAAAAAUUUGAUGAAACCAAUUUCAUUGGAAAGAGGACUUGCAAAGCUUUCCGUUGAUAUAUAAUAGAUCACCCAGAUCAUUAUGUACAAGGAUUUAUGAUCAUUUAAAGUUGGAGUAAAAAUACGCCAGGCCUCAGUACUUUUUCCUGCACGUUUUACUGUUCACUACUAUUCAUAGUUCGAUCAGAAUGUUCAUAACUCGUCGCUCGGGUGUUCGUCUUGGAUGAUCCACAUAUCGUUGAAAAGCUUAUUCAAUACUCUACGCAAUGGUGGGUCAUAAUCUAAGAUAUUCCUCACAGAAAAUUUAUAAUUCAUUCUAUAAAAUAUAACCCAACACGUUUACGCAUAAAAUUUCAACGAAAAAUUUUCUGGGGUAUUACAGCCAAUCACCUCCUAAUUAUCCUUUAGACCCUUAAGGAUCAUCAGUUGUAUGCAAAAUUUUCUAAGUAUGAAUUUUGGUUAGACGGGAUUGCCUUCCUGGGGCAUAUUGUGUCCAGUGACGGGAUAAGAGUGGAUCCCCAGAAAGUUGAAACAGUGAGAAAAUGGCCCAGGCCCACGACUCCAACCGAUAUUCAAAGCUUCUUGUGUUUUCCGGUGUAUUACAGAAGGUUCGUAGAGAGUUUUUCUUCCAUAGCUGCUCCGCUUACUAAACUGACUCAGAAAAAGGUGAAGUUUGUGUGGUCUGACUUGUGUGAAAAUAGUUUUGAGAAAUCGAAGGACAAGAUGACUACUGCUCCUGUUUUGACCCUUCUCGAGGGUGUAGAUGAUUUUGUCGUUUCUUGUGAUGCGUCCCGUGUAGGACUUGAUUGUGUAUUGAUAUAACGUGGUAAGGUGAUAGCUUAUUCAUCUAGGCAGUUAAAGGUGCAUGAGUGGAAUUACCCCACUCAUGAAUUGGAGUUAGCAGCCGUGUUGUUUGUACUUAGAAUCUACAGAAAUUAUCUCUAUGGAGUGCAUGUUGAUAUUUAUACUGACCAUAAGAGUUUACGGUAUGUUUUCUCACCGAAAGAAUUGAACCUCAGGCAGAUUCGUUGGAUGGAGCUUUUGAAAGACUACGAUAUGAGUAUGCAUUACCAUCCGAGCAAGGCAAAUGUUAUAGCCGACGCCCUUAGCAGGUUGUCUAUGGGCAGCCUUUCUCAUGUAAAAGAAGGAAAGAAAGAGAUGGUGAAGGAUAUUCACCGCCUUGCAAAUCUGGGAGUGCGACUCUUAGAUUCCGAAGAUGGAGGGGUGAUUUUUCAUGAGUUAGCUAAGUCAUCUCUUUGUGCUAAAGUUAAGGAGAAGAAGGUUGAAGAUCCUAUCUUGAUGCAAAUCAAGAAAGAUGUGGGUCAAUAAAAGGUUAUGUCAUUUGAAAUUGGUGGCGAUGGUAUUCUAAAAUUUCAGGGUAGGUUGUGCGUUCCGAAUGUCGAUGGGCUACGGGAUAGAAUCCUUAAUGAGGUGCACACUUCGAGGUAUGUCAUUUACCCAGGCUCUACUAAGAUGUACCAUGAUCUGAAAACCUUGUAUUGGUGGAAUAAGAUGAAACGUGAUGUAGCUUAUUUUGUGUCCAAGUGUUUGAACUGUCAGCAAGUAAAGGUUGAACACAUGAGGCCGGGUGGUACUUCCCAAGAGAUAUCCCUUCCUUUAUGGAAGUUGGAGAUGAUAAAUAUGGACUGCAUUAUAGGACUUCUGAGAUCCCGAAACCAGUAUGAUUCUAUAUGAAUGAUUCUAGAUCGGUUGACCAAGUCAGCACACUUUUUGCCUGUGAGGACUAAUUAUUCGAGAGAGGUUUAUGCUAAGAUUUACAUUGAGGAGAUAGUUCGAUUGCAUGAGGCACCAGUGUCCAUUAUAUCCGAUAGAGGUACACAGUUUUCAUCUCAGUUUUAGAGAUCCUUUCAGAAGUGUUUAGGUAUAUAAGUGAAUUUGAGCACAGCUUUCCACCCUCAGACGGAUAGGCAAGUUGAGCAUCCCAUUCAGACCCUUGAAGAUAUGUUGAGGGCAUGCAUCAUUGAUUUCCAAGGUAGUUGGGUAGAUCACCUGCCACUGGUUGAAUUCGCUUACAAUAAUAGCUACCAUGCGAGCAUCAAGAUGGCUCCUUUUGAGGCUUUGUAUGGGAGGAGAUGUAGGUCUCCGAUAGGAUGGUAUGAAGUGGGUGAGACUCAGUUGUAUGGGCCUGAUCUUGUUCAUCAGGCGAUGGAGAAAGUGAAAAUCAUUAGAGAAUGACUCAAGACUACUCAGAGUCGUCAGAAGUCCUAUGCCGAUGUUUGGAGAAGAGAACUAGAGUUUGAAAUUGGUGAUUGGGUAUUUGUCAAGGUUUCUCCUAUGAAAGGGGUUAUGCGAUUUGUAAAAAGUGGUAAAUUGAUCCCUCGUUAUGUAGGGACAUAUUAGAUUUUGAAAAAAAAUUGGUACAGUUGCAUAUGAGUUAGAAUUGCCUGCAAGUUUGGGUUUCGUUCAUCCGGUAUUCCAUGUGUCCAUGUUGAAGAAAUGCAUUGGAGACCAUUCUAUGGUAUUGCCAGUAGAGGGUAUCAAAGUGAUACACUCCUUGUCUUAUGAAGAAGAGCCCGCUGAGGAGAAAAGAGAUAGCCUAGUAAAGGUACUGUGGAGGAAUCAGAAAGUCGAAGAAGCAACUUGGAAGUCAGAAGAUGACAUAAGAAUUAGAUAUCCCAAUUUGUUUGCUUCGAUGGAGGAGGUGACAGAAGGUACUAUUCCUAUUUUAUAUUUCCUAGUCCUUUAUUAUGCUUGAAAUCGUGUCUAUCUGUGUCCCGCAUCAUCAUUCGGGUACGAAUGAUCCUAAGGGGGAUAAUGUAAAGCCCCGCAAUUCGGGCUACAAUGUAGACCAUGAUUUCGAUGCGUUGCUAAUCCCGAAGCCAUAAAAUCCUAUGUCAACACAGCAUGUUAAUUAUUGUGUAGCAUGUGAAACUGCUCAAGCUUGAAUUUAGACCAUAAAGGUCCUUCAACUCAAGGACGAGUUGAAACUAUUUCGAUCGACUAAGUUUUAGUAGACGUUGUAAAGUGUGUUUGAUUCCAUCGACCAUAACCGUCUGUAUAUAUUGAAUUAGGAAGCCUACUAUGUUUCAAAUGAUAGGUAUUCGAGUUAGCUUUCCAACGAUACCAAUUUGGCUAAAAUCCGACACCCGAGCAAGAAGUUAUGGCCCUUCAAAGUGAUAAGCAUCGCCUAACAAAUCGCCCAUGGCCACUGGAACGCAAAGUCAAUAGCCUAGGCGGCGGCUAUGCAAACAUAGGCGAUAGCCUAGGCGGCGCCUAUGCAAACAUAGGCAAUAGACUAGCAGCGCCUAUGUGAACAUAGGCAACGGGAUGGGCGGCGCCUAUGUAAGGAAUUCUAGUGAUUUAAACACUCCAUGUUGAGGACAAAGUGGUCCUUUUCCACUCUUACUUAGCCCUAAAACACGAGAUUUAGUUCCAAGGACCCCAAAAUACAUAUUCUUUCAUCAAAAGUGCUCAAGAUUCUCCUUAGGGUUUCACAAUAAAAAACCCAAAUAGUUCAAGAUUUGACCAUAGGUUUUCAAAGAUAAUUACAUAUUUCGAAUCACCAAUCCGCAAGCUUCGAGAAACAUCUAUUAUCUUUGGAAAUAGAGGUACGUGGGGUUAUCCAAAAAUCUCAUGGGUGUAAUUUUAAUGAACAUGCAUGAUUUUAAUUUGUCUUUCGUGAUUAAGUACGUGCUUGGUACUAGAACGUCAAGACAACAUUAAAAAAAUAAUAGUCAUGACUUAAGACAUCGACAAGCACUUUAAGUUAUCUUGAAAAUUCACUUAGACCCCUCAACUUAAACUUGUACCUAUUGAAUACCUUUACUGCUGGUCUUGUACCCAUUGAAUACUUUUACUACUUGAAUUUAAACCAUUUAAACACAUUUUUAACAAUAACCUAUAAAUGUAAAGUAUGUGUAGUGCAAUUGUGACGUCGCAAUACAAAAAAUUAAAUGAUGCCAUUUGGCAUGUGAAUCCAAAAACAUAUUAAAAAAAUAACAAUGGUGACAAUUUACAUUUUUUAUUAAAAAAGAAAAAGAAAAUCAAGUUUUUCCCCUACUUUCUCCAAUUCUGUAAAAAAAUUCCAAAUUUUUUUAGCAAUCCAAUUCAUAUUUAUUGCUAUUUUUCUUCUCGUGUUGUGGGUUCCUUAGAAUUUGAAUUCUUUAACAAUAUCAAUAAAGUAAUCUCAAAUUCACAUCAAGUUAGCCGAAAAAAAUGGAGUUUCCCAGUUCAAGAAUCAAAUUUACUGCUGCUGCUUUUUUUUUUCUUUUUCUGUUACAUAAAUUCGUGAUUACAUAAAUGGCUCAGAGAUGGUUUGAUCUAUAAGCGGUCUUUAAUUGACGAAUAAAUAAUAUAUUGCAUAUAUUUUCAGCAAUGACCGAUUAAAGAAAAGAAUUGACGAAUUUAAAAAACUUACAAGAUUGUUAAGAAUUUAAAAAAUAAAAAAAAUACAAAUGAAAGAGGCUGAAGAAGAUGGCUAGGGGGGCGGGGGGCGAAGCAGAGGGGAUGAUUUUAUUUUUAUUUUUUAAUUAAAAUUUGUUAUUAUUAGAAAUUAUUAAUGAAAUAAAUUGAAGUGUGCUUUUUUUUUUUAACAAAAAUUUUAAAAAUACCAUUUGGUAGUUGGUACUCUAUUCACGCUCCUAAUCCAAAGGAGAGUAAAUAACACUUUUCUUGGCACAUCAGCACUUUGUGCCUGAUAGGUAUAGAAUUGAAUGGGUUAGGGUCCUGAUAGGUAUAUACCUUAGUUGAGGGGUCUAAGUGAAUUUUUGGGACAACUUAAAUUGGCUGGCGAUGAUUUAAGCUUAAUAGUCAUCAUAGAUUUAGUUCCUGAUCAUCAGGCUACACCGGAUUCUUCCCUCCAUACUUAAAUUGUGCUGCUAAGGAGGUCUCGUUGAGGUAAAAUGUCAUUCUUAAUGUGGUAUAGUUGUUAGUUUAGCAUUGUAGGCCUAUUGGGUACAUGUGCUUUCGACACUCAUGCAUUCCACGCACGAGUGGACCGUGAUGGUUGAUUGAGUCAGAAGCUCUACUUCCUGUUGGCUAUGUUGUUUCGUGAAGAAAUAUUUAUGUACUCUUUAUCGCUAUUAAGACAAACUCUAACUGUUGAUGUUGUCACUAAUUGAUUAUCUAAUCCACAUAAAGUUGGUGUCGAUAAGCAUCAGAUAUUCUGCAUAUAAUCCUUAGAGUUAUCACAUUUCAACAACGGAAAAGGGACAAAUAUUCCCUCGAACCAUGAUAAAUGGUACGCAUAUGUUAUCCGUCAUACUUUGGGUACACAUAUGCCCCUACCAUUAAUGAAAUGGUACAUAUAUGCCCCUCACACUAACGGUAGGGACAUAUGUGUACUCAAAGUAUGACGAAGGGUAUAUACUUAUCAUUUCAACAAUGCCACUUUUGCAUUACCAUUGUACAAAUAUUGAAUGUGGCGACGCAAAAUGAAUUUUGGGGAUUUGAUGAAAUCAAUAAUUCCAGUAUAACAACAUCAUUGGGGCGGGUAAUCAUCUUGAGACCUCGUUGUAUCAAGCCUACAUUCAAAAAUCGUGCAAGCUAAGUAACAGGAACAAUCAAUUAAUGUUUGUAUUUUCCAGGAACAAGUUUUUUCUUUCCAUAGAGCUCUUUCACUAAAGGGUUUGCUGCCCAUUGAUUUUCAGCAACGCGAUUUGUAGGCUGGAAUUCAAAAAUUUUACCAUCCCGAGAUAAAACAACCUGAUUGGCAAUAUAAGCACAUCAACUAUGAUAAACGCAUAAAUAGUUACUAGUAAACGUUCACGACAAAUCUAUAGCCAUGCUCAACUGGCAACUAUAGUAGAGUUGAAAUCCAGGUGGGAAGAAUAAGUAUAAAAGGGUAGAUAAAGGCAUUAGGUGCUAUGGAGAAAAAAAGUAGCAAUAAUAAUAGAAUAUUCAACGCUUAAAUUUUAUAAUGCAGAAAUCUCGUGAACAUUUAUCAAUCCUAGGGUAAAAUGAUAAUCAACUAAAAGAGCGUAAAAAACAAUAAAAGUGGUCAAUAAUGCAAAGCAUGUGUCAUCCAUUUCAUGGUAACUUCUAAACACAAGAUACUUAUCUCCCCUCAUAUGAAGCAGCCAAUGAAGUAGGUGUCACGUCCCAAAAACCUCAUGCGCGUGACUGGCUCCCGCUAACAACACUUGUCGGGAGAACCAACUUUCCAUGCAUUCUCAAUGUAUACAAUACUAUGGGAUAAAAAUGUGUACAACUUCAAAUGCAAGAAAUAAUCAUUAAACUCAAAGUAAUGAUCCAGCAAGAUAUCGCGAAACGAUUUACGAAAACAACAGUAGUUUAGGUAACAAAUCUCAAACCCAAAACCCACACUAGACCAUGGAGAAUCUAAAUAAAGUUACAUGAGUUCAGCUUUCGGGCAUGCAACCCAACAAAAAGAAAUAUAAGCUAAAAAUAACUAAAGCUGGAUGACAGCCUCCACGAACAAUGAGAAGGUUCAGCUUAGCAACAAAAUCCACAUGUAAAGAUCGUCAGCCACAAGUCUCUCUCUCUCUCUGCAACCAUAUCAGCAAGUAUGCAAGUAAGGAGUGAGCUAUAUAACUAUAACCCAGUAAGAUCCUCGGCUUGCUACUUUAAGUACUCCUGGGACAAGUAUUAGAAAAUACAACAACACCAAGAACACAUAGUUAUUACACACAAGAAGUAUAUCAUAAUAAGAUGUCCAACGAUACCAACAAUCAUUCCUCGAAAAUUAUAUAUCUCAACCCAAUUUAUACCAAGUACUUAUCACCAUUUGAAAUCAAAGUAAUUACCCAACUCUAGAAGUUCUGGGCCACAUACACAAUGUGCCAAAUAUCAAGAGUAUACACAAUACUCGGGAAACAUACAUAAUGUCCCGUAUCAAAUCAAAAAGCAUACAAAAUGCUAAGUAAGGCAUACACAAUGCUUAAAGAAAGCUUACACAAUGCCCCAACAAAAUUAGAAAGCAUACACAAUGCCCCAAUCUCACAGUACACAAUCAUAUCACAUCACAAAAUAAUUUAUAAAAGGAGUAUUGGUAUUCUUAAGCAUGAAGUAUAUGUGUCUGGCCUUGAAGACCGUCAAUUCUGCCAAGCAUACACUCGUCCCAACACAUGAACCGGGCAAAUAUAAAUAUAUCUUAUAAACAAAUUUGUAAAGAAAGCACCUAUGUGUCUGGCCUUGAAGACCGUCAAUUCUGCCAAGCAUACGCUCGUCCCAACACAUGAACCGGGCAAAUAUAAAUAUAUCUUAUAAACAAAUUUGUAAAGAAAGCACCCAAAGUUUAAAGUCUCACUUACCUCACGAAUGACAAGUUCCUCAAUCUUGCAAUGCAUAGUACACCAAACAAACAGCAUCCAAUGAUUUCAAUUUAAUAAAAAUAUUACUUAACGAUGUCAAUUGUGCUAGCAAAUGUCAAGUCUCAAUACUCCUAACCUUCUAGUUUAAAGUUAAACCUUAGUAUCUCAUACCUUAAGAAAUGGAUUAAAAAUUUUCUCUAUCCAACCUAAUUUCUCCAUAAUAAUUUCAUACAAAUUAGUUACCUAACCAUUUGAUCUCAUUAGCCACAAACAUUAUAAGAAACUCUUAAAUGCAUAUUCAAAACUCCACCAAUGCAAAGAAUUUGCAAAGUUGUAAAGCAAGUACUUUUGUUUUCAUAUUCAGGAAGUUAACAUAUCUAAAAUAAAUUAAUAUCAAUACAAAAUCAGGAGUCCCACAAUAUGAAUAUGAUCCCUUUUCUCUCUCUACUCAUUGCUCAAUCAUUACAUCAUAAAAAACAAUCAUUAACUAAUCAAUAGCUUCCACUCUAUCUCGUUAACUCCAUUAGGACCAAUCUUCCGAAAUAUUCUUUGUGUGCACAGUUUUCAUGCUAAAGAAUUAGGAACAAGAUGAGUACCUUAUAAAUAUGAAGUUUUGUAGGUGAGUGUUACUGGCUAAUGUUAUUCUUGUCACGACCCGAACCAGGGCCCUGGCCAUGACGAGCAUUCUGAACCAUGAAGGCCCGAAACACCCCUAUCUAUCUAGUAAUCAUGCACAUAAUUCAUAUGAUAAUAAGCUAUGCGGAAGAUACACAAUAUUACAGAAAACAUGGUCAUAAAUCAAAUGAAAUCAACAAAGGGGAAAUAAUUUCCCACAACAUCUAUAAACAUCUGAACAACCGUCUGCGAAAUCUCUAAUACAUGACUAAAAUAAAUUACUGUCUGAAAACUGGACAAGGUCCUAAGUAGACCCAAAACUACUAAAUGAUAAUUGAACUGACAGGCAUCAGGCCUUCCGAAAUAUAGAAGGCUCACCACUUGAUUCUGCAAAUCUGUCAAAAGAGAUCUACUGGUUAUCUGGACCCCUAAACUGUGACUCCAAACCUGGGAAGGAAGGGGAUCAAUACAAAAGUACUGGUACGCAGAGAAAUCAAAAACAAAAUAUAAUAUUUUUUUUCAAAUAUUGGUGAGAGCCAUUAUAAAGCAGUUUCAUAUCAAAUCAUUUGAAAACACAUGGGCAUAAUGUAAUNNNNNNNNNNNNNNNNNNNNNNNNNNNNNNNNNNNNNNNNNNNNNNNNNNNNNNNNNNNNNNNNNNNNNNNNNNNNNNNNNNNNNNNNNNNNNNNNNNNNNNNNNNNNNNNNNNNNNNNNNNNNNNNNNNNNNNNNNNNNNNNNNNNNNNNNNNNNNNNNNNNNNNNNNNNNNNNNNNNNNNNNNNNNNNNNNNNNNNNNNNNNNNAUAUCUUAUUCUGUAGGGUAUCAUCAUACCCGACUUGCAAGCCAUCAAUAUCACAUCAUUCUUUCAUGCAACCAUUACAUUCAUCAUAUUUCAACAUAACAACCCUCUUAUUGCAAGUCAAAUCCAUGACCAUUUUCAAAAUAUUUCAUGUGACGCUUGUCAAGAUGAUUUCAAACAUUUCACAUCAUAUGAGAAUUUAAAACAAGAUCAUAUAAAGAGAGGAAUUUCAUAUAAUUCAUGCUCUCAAGUGAACAUCUUUUCGGAAUACAUGCAUAUACAUAUAUCAUAUAUCAAAGCACUUCGGGACUAGGCCUAAAGACCAAAUCAAUAUCAUAAAACAUUUAAAAUGGGAUUAUAUUCAUAAUUUCAAAAACCUCCAUUUUUAAAACAUGAAUUUUUAAGCCCAUGAGAUUUUUGAGAUAACCCCACGUACCUUUAUAUGCGAAGAUGAUAGGUGUUUCUUCAAGCCUAUGUUCUGGGGAUUCCAAAUAUGCAAUUAGUUUCAAAAAUCCACGGUUGAAUCUUGAGUUGCUUUGGUUUUUAUUUUGAAACCCUAAGGAGAGUUCUUGAGCAAUUUUGAUGAAUGAAGGUGUAUUUUGGGGUAUUUGGGGACUGAAUUUCGUGUGUAUGGCUAAUUAAGGGUAGGAAAAGGACCAUUUUGCCCCAAAAAUGGAGUGUUUAAGUCACUUGAGUAAUAAUACAUGCGGCGCACACCUUAUCACAUAAUAUAGGUUGUGCGGCGUACUCUUAAUCGCACACAUUAGGUUGUGCGUCGCACACCUUAUGGCAUAAGUUAGAGUGUGCGUCGCACACCUUUUGCUGUACGACACACUCCACUUUGCAAAGACACAACUUCUUCCUCGUGUGUCAGAUUUUUACAAAAUUGGUAUCGUUGGAAAGAUAAUUCGAAUACCUUGCAUUUGAUAUAUAGUAGCUACUAUAAUUCAAUAUAUACAAAUAGUAAUGGUCGAUUGAAGUUGUCCUAAGUCUCAACGCUCACUAAAAUUCAAACGAUAGGAAAACUUUCAACUUGUCCUUGAGCUUGGGGACCUCUAUAAUCUCAAUUCAUGCUCAAAUAGGUUUCCACACUACAUAAUUUAUUAACACACUAAACUUGCAUUACAUUUUUGGAUUUUGGAACCUUUACGUGAAGGAAAUGAUGAUUUUCGUUCUCGUCCAAAAUGCGGGGUGUUACAUUAUCUCCCCCUUGGGAUCAUUCGUCCCCGAAUGAUGGGUAGGAACUUGUUGAAGUUUAAAAGUAUGAAAUAAUGCGGACAUGAUGUGCCUUCUAAGAAAGGACAUAACUGAUCUGAAAUAUUUAAACUUCUAUCAUGAAACUGAAUUCUGAGCUGACUUGGCUUUUCUUGCUUCAAGAAGUUGAUUCGUUCUGAAAAUUUAGGAUUCCCUUUAUAUAUUCAUGAUCCAAUAAUACAUAUUAAAAUUAGGAAUUGAUAACUUAUGCAAGUACGAAUCAUAAAACAUCAAGACUUAGAUCGUACAAGGUUAUUACACUAUCUGAGCUGAAAUAGUUGAAAAUUUUUAAGAUUAUACGCUGAACUCUUAUGCACCAAGUCAUGAAUAGAUAGAUGAAUCUGAAACAUGAUGCUUGGAAUGAACUGAACUCAUAAUUUAUAUGGAUGGAAUAGAUUAUCUCUUGGGAAUGGCCAUACGCAUGAGACUUCGGAUAGUAGUACUAGGUGAAAAGGUGGAAAAACCAUAGUAACUUAUCUGCCCGAUUGUUAAACUGAAUUAUAGACUGAAUUAUACUAGACACUUAUACUUAACUGGAGUAUCUCUUCAACACUCUCUAUAAAGAAGUUCUAGCAGUAAUAGGAAGCCAUGAAUCUUGGGAAUUGAAUACAUAAGACAUCCAACUGAGGGAAAUCACAACAUUUACACUACUCUGCAGUCUGGAAUAUAGACAUAUAACUCAUACACUCUGAAGUAAUAAAGGACUCUUCUCAAGUCCUUACACAAUUUUAAGAUGUUAUAUAACGCGAUCCGAAAGGACCAUACCAUUUAGACUCUAAACUUCUUCACUUGAAUCACCCCAGUAAUGUCAUGGGUCUGAGAACAUCAGAGUAAGAAAAGAAUUUCGGAUGAUUUUACUUUCAUAUGGACGUUACCAUAGCACAAAUUAGAUUAUGAAGGAGGAACAUUCUGACUCUAUUGCACGAACUAGAACAUGAAGAAAAAGAGACAUUCCUAAAUGCCUAGUAGCCUCCUGCUUAUAAGUGUGGCGCGCUACACACCCAUAAACAAAACUCUACCUAACGCGAUUUCGCAGACACCCUGGGACUAUAAACCUUGCUCUAAUAUGAAGUUUUUCACGACCCGAACUGGGGCCCUGACCGUGACGAGCAUUCCGAACCAUAAAGUCCUGAAAUACCCCUAUCUGUUUGGUAAUUCAUACAAAUAAUUCGUAUGAUAAUAGAAAUGCGGAAGAUUAAAUAUAUUGUGGAAACAUGGUCAAGAAUCAUAUGAAAUCAAUAAUGGGGAAUAGUGCCCCCAAAUCUCUAUCAACAUCUAAAAAAUCGUCCGCAAAAUCUCUACUACAUAAUUGAAGCAAAUAACUAUCUGAAAACUAGGACAAGGCCCCUAGUAGACCCAAAACUAAUAAAUAAUAAACAAACUGGCAGACAUCAGGCCUUCUGAAAUAUAGAAGGCUCACCACUUGAUUCUACAAACUUGUCGGAAGAGAUCUACUAGUUAUCUAGACCCCUAGACUAUUCCUCCAAACCUGAGAGGGAAGGGGGUCAAUACAAAAGUACUGGUACGCUGAGAAAUCAAAACAAAAUAUAAUAUUUUUUUAACCAAAUAUAGGUGAGAGCCAUUAUAAAGCAAUUUCAUAUCAAAUCAUUUGAAAACACAUGGGCAUAAUACAAUAGUUUUUCAACAACGAUGCUAUGCGGCUAAGCUAGGUGGAAUACCCUACAUAAUUUACACCAACUGUCAAACCUCGGUUCCCACCGAGAUUAGAGUAUAAGUAAGGGAAAGACACACAAGAUCACACAGCAGGGUGUCCCAACCUAAUAAAGUAUAGUAGUGCCCAAGAUCACUUAACCUGGACUCCUAACCAUAGUGCCAAUUAGGGAAUGACAUAAAGUCAGGUACACAAGAUCACUUAGCCAGGUACCAAGUUCCUGUGUCGGCAAACACGGUUUCCAGUGAUGAUCCCUUACACUCAAACACCUUCUUCGGAUAUCCACCUAUCUCGUAUAAAAUGAAUGCAUUCAACUCCCUUUAAUUCAACCACAUAUCUUAUUCAAUAGGGUAUCGUGAUACCCGACUUGCAAGCCAUCAAUAUCAUAUCAUUCUUUCAUGCAACCAUUAUAUUCAUCAUAUAUCAACAUAUACAACUCUCUCAUGGCAAGUCAAAAUCAUGCCCAAAUCAUAACAAUGUUCAAAACAUUUCAUGUCAUGAUUGACAAUAUGCUUUCAAACAGUUCACAUCAUAUGAAAAUAUAAAAUAAAAUCACAUCAAGAGAGGAAUUUCGUAUAAUUCAUGCUCUCAAGUUCACAUCCUUUCAAAAUACAUGCAUAUACAUAUAUCAUAUAUCAAAUCACUUCGGAAAUAGGCCUAAAGACCAAAUCAAUAUUAUAGAAACGUUUAAAACGUGAUUAUAUACAUAAUUUUCAAAACCCCCAUUUUUAAACAUGAAUUUUAAAGCCCAUGAGAUUUUUGAAAUAACCCGACGUACCUCUAUAUGCGAAGAUGAUAGGUGUUUCUUCAAGCCUACGUUCUGGGGAUUCCAAAUAUGCAAUUAGUUUUAAAAAUCCACGGUUGAAUCUUGAGUUGCUUGGGUUUUUAUUUUGAAACCCCAAGGAGAGUUCUUGAGCAAUUUGGAUGAAUGAAGGUGUAUUUUGGGGUAUUUGGGGACUGAAUUUCGUGUUUAUGGCUAAAUAAUGGUGCGAAAAGGACCAUUUUGCCCCAAAAAUGGAGUGUUUAAGUCACUUGAGUAGUAAUGUAUACGGAGCACACCUUAUCGCAUAAUAUAGUUUGUGAGACGCACUCUUUAUCUCACACAUUAGUUUGUGCGUCGCACACCUUAUGCUGCGCAACACACUCCACUUUGCAAAGCCAUAACUUCUUCCUCGGGUGUUGGAUUUUUUUAAAUUAGUAUCGUUGGAAAGAUAAUUCGAAGACCUUUCAUUUGAUAUAUAUUAGGCACUCUAAUUCAAUAUAUACAAAUAUUAAUUGUCAAUUGAAAUUGACUUAAUUUUCAACGCUCUCUAAAAUCCAAACGAUAGUAAAACUUUCAACUUUUCCUUGAACUUGGGAACCUUUUUGACCUCAAUUCAUACUCAAAUAGGUUUUCACACUACAUAAUUUAUUAACACACUAAACUUGCAUUGGAUUUAUGGCUUUUGGAACCUUUACGUGAAGGAAAUGACGAUUUUCGUUCUCGUCCGAAAUGCGGGGUGUUACAAUCAUCAAUGCCAUUUCUAGUUUCAUCAUCACGGUGCUGCUGUAUACAUGGUUCUAUUUGGGGUUUCGUUGUUUUGCAAAUUUUGAUCUUUCCAUAAAAUGGUUAGCCACCCUUCUGCUACCAAUGGAUUUCCCAUAUAGGGGUAGAGGGUAAAACUAACUAUCGACAACAUUCUGAACUUGAGCGCACCUAAAAAGAAAUUGAACGAAUUGGAUGUACUAAAACUAUAGUUCGACAGAUCCACAGUCUAAGGGUGUUAAGUGGGCCAGCCCGACCCGGCCCGAUCCGGCCCUUGUAACUAACCCGGCCCGGUAAGCCCUAGGGCUUUAGGGUUUCGAGUCCCGGGUCGGUUAUUAUUUUAAAAUGGGCUCAGCUAACCCGGCCCGAAUCAAGCCCAGUUCAAGCUCACCGAUUAACCGGCCAGGCCCGGAUACCUGUUUUUAAAAUAAAAAAUUGGGAUUUUGGGUCAAACUAGCCGUUGGCCCAAUGGUUAUAUAGCCGUUUUUGGAUCCAAACGGCUAGUUUGGGCCCAUUUAUUAAAAAAAAAUAUUUUACUUUAAAAAAUAUUUUUUAACCCUGAAAAAAAUUCUAUAAAUACCCUACAACUUCAAAUCAUUUUUCACAUAAUUUUUCACUCUCUCAAAUCUCAAUUCUCAAUUCUCAAAUAUUCAAUAUAUUUAAUUUCUUCACUUUAAUUUUUUAAUUUUUCGUUUACAAAGUACGAGCGGAAGUUUUUAAAGUCGCAACCUUCUGAUACUUCAAAAAUUUGGUAUAGUCGUUCCAUCUCUUACGUUUAAUUUUUAUUUAUUGUAUUAAUUAUUUAAUAUUUAAUUUUAUUAUAUUUGCGUAUUUUGAAUAUUUUUAAUUUAAUUAAUUUAUAUUAUGGAUAAAUUAAGAAACCUCGCUACUAAAGGUGUUAAAAUAUUUUGUCCUAGAAGCUGUAGUGGUAGUAAGAAGCGAAUUACUAGCGGUAGAGGUAGUUCAAGUAGUAGCUAUUCCCGUGUGCCUUCACCUCCUGUACCACUUGGUACACCUUUUGAGGAAGAGAUAGGUGUAGGAGCUCACGAUAUGGAUUAUGUAGAAGCUCAGAAAAAUUAUGGUAUAGAAGAAGAAAAUGAAGUAGAUGCAGUUAAUUUAGACGAAGAUAAUGAAAAUAUUGCUGAGACACCCGCAGUAGGAGAUGCUAACUUUAGAUCUGAAUCGGUUAAUCUCCCUUCCCGUCCUCCCAGUGCCCCAAGACCUCGUAAAAGAACUAGUGUUGCAGGAAAAUUUUUUGAACGUAUAGCAGAUAUUGAGGUGCAAUGCAAUAUUUGUCAACAAAUAUAUAAGCAUAGAAGUGGAGGCAAGCAAGGGGUACGAGUACGUUAAUGAUACAUAUAGCUGAAGACCACAAAAGAGAGUUAAAUAUUUCACAAGGUGGUGGAGAUGUUGGUGGGCCAACGCAAACUAGAAUGGACCCAGCAACCGGUCAUGUAGCGAAAAAGUAUAAUAAAUUGAGGGACUGGGAAGAAAUAGCUAAAAUGGUAGCUGUGGGUUGUAUGCCUUUUAGUUUUCCUUCUUCUGAUGCCCUUAUUCGUUAUAUACAAGCAAUUUAUAGUCCUAUGUUUAACGGUAUUCCUUGAACUACUUGUCGGUCUAAUAUUUUUAGACUUCAUUCACAAUAUUAUUUUUAUUUAUCAACAUUGUUAAAAAAUAUUCAAUGUAGAUUGUCCCUAACUUCUGAUCUUGGUUGUGCUAUAAAUAAAAAUGAUUAUUUAACCGUUACUUGUCAUUGGAUNNNNNNNNNNNNNNNNNNNNNNNNNNNNNNNNNNNNNNNNNNNNNNNNNNNNNAAACAUACUGGACAAUUUAUUGUUGAUUCUAUUGUUAAAAUUGCUGGAUAUUAUGGUAUCGAAAAUAAAAUUUUAUAUAUUACUUUUGAUAAUGCUUCUAACAACAAAAAUGCUAUAAAAAAAAUUAAAAUCUACACUAUCUCCACCCUUGCCUGAAAUUUUUCAUAUUAAGUGUGCAUGUCAUAUAUAUAAUUUAAUUGUAAAAGAUGGUCUUGAGUUUUUUGAGCUUUAUAUUGAAAAAAUUCGUCUUGCCGUUGGUUUUAUUCAAGGAAAUAAUCGUAGAUCGAGAAUUAAAGAAUUUAAAGUUAAAUGUCAAGAAAAUGGACUUACACCGAUUUUGAUGCCUGAGGAAAUUGAUACUAGAUGGAAUUCUACGUAUGAAUUUUUAAAAACUUAUUAUAAAUAUAUAAUUCCUAUUACACUACCUUNNNNNNNNNNNNNNNNNNNNNNNNNNNNNNNNNNNNNNNNNNNNNNNNNNNNNNNNNNNNNNNNNNNNNNNNNNNNNNNNNNNNNNNNNNNNNNNNNNNNNNNNNNNNNNNNNNNNNNNNNNNNNNNNNNNNNNNNNNNNNNNNNNNNNNNNNNNNNNNNNNNNNNNNNNNNNNNNNNNNNNNNNNNNNNNNNNNNNNNNNNNNNNNNNNNNNNNNNNNNNNNNNNNNNNNNNNNNNNNNNNNNNNNNNNNNNNNNNNNNNNNNNNNNNNNNNNNNNNNNNNNNNNNNNNNNNNNNNNNNNNNNNNNNNNNNNNNNNNNNNNNNNNNNNNNNNNNNNNNNNNNNNNNNNNNNNNNNNNNNNNNNNNNNNNNNNNNNNNNNNNNNNNNNNNNNNNNNNNNNNNNNNNNNNNNNNNNNNNNNNNNNNNNNNNNNNNNNNNNNNNNNNNNNNNNNNNNNNNNNNNNNNNNNNNNNNNNNNNNNNNNNNNNNNNNNNNNNNNNNNNNNNNNNNNNNNNNNNNNNNNNNNNNNNNNNNNNNNNNNNNNNNNNNNNNNNNNNNNNNNNNNNNNNNNNNNNNNNNNNNNNNNNNNNNNNNNNNNNNNNNNNNNNNNNNNNNNNNNNNNNNNNNNNNNNNNNNNNNNNNNNNNNNNNNNNNNNNNNNNNNNNNNNNNNNNNNNNNNNNNNNNNNNNNNNNNNNNNNNNNNNNNNNNNNNNNNNNNNNNNNNNNNNNNNNNNNNNNNNNNNNNNNNNNNNNNNNNNNNNNNNNNNNNNNNNNNNNNNNNNNNNNNNNNNNNNNNNNNNNNNNNNNNNNNNNNNNNNNNNNNNNNNNNNNNNNNNNNNNNNNNNNNNNNNNNNNNNNNNNNNNNNNNNNNNNNNNNNNNNNNNNNNNNNNNNNNNNNNNNNNNNNNNNNNNNNNNNNNNNNNNNNNNNNNNNNNNNNNNNNNNNNNNNNNNNNNNNNNNNNNNNNNNNNNNNNNNNNNNNNNNNNNNNNNNNNNNNNNNNNNNNNNNNNNNNNNNNNNNNNNNNNNNNNNNNNNNNNNNNNNNNNNNNNNNNNNNNNNNNNNNNNNNNNNNNNNNNNNNNNNNNNNNNNNNNNNNNNNNNNNNNNNNNNNNNNNNNNNNNNNNNNNNNNNNNNNNNNNNNNNNNNNNNNNNNNNNNNNNNNNNNNNNNNNNNNNNNNNNNNNNNNNNNNNNNNNNNNNNNNNNNNNAAAUUGAAUUUCUAGUUUUCUACUUUAAAUUAAAAACUUAAUGCUAAUACAUUAUUAAUUUACUACCAAAUAUUAUUAAUUUAUUAUAUUAAGUAGCCUAUGUUUUGUAUAUUUGUGCAUAGAUCUUCUAUAGAAGUGUAUAUUUAACGUUUACAUGUGUAUAUGUUUUAUAAACUAGUAUAUAAGUAUAUCUAUAUAUAUUGUAAUGUAUAUAUAAUGAAGUAUAUUUUAUAAGUAGUAGUAUAUAUACAUUGAAUGGUGCAUAUACACGUGUAUAUAUCUUCUAUAGAAGUGUAUAUUUAACGUAUACAUGUGUAUAUGUUUUAUAAAUUGGAUAUCUUCUACAGAAGUGUAUAUUUAAUGUAUACAUGUGUAUAUAUUUUAUAAAUAAGUGUAUAAGUAUAUCUAUAUAUAUAUUGUAAUGUAUAUAUAAUGUAGUAUAUUUUAUAAGUAGUAGUAUAUAUACAUUGAAUGGUGUGUAUACACUUGUAUAUAUCUCCUAUAGAAGUGUAUAUUUAACAUAUACAUGUGUAUAUGUUUUAUAAAUUAGUAUAUAAGUAUAUCUAUAUAUAUUGUAAUGUAUAUAUAUUGCAGUAUAUUUUUUAAGUAGUAGUAUAUAUACAUCGAAUGGUGCAUAUACACAUGUAUAUAUCUUCUAUAGAAGUAUAUAUUUAACGUAUACAUGUGUAUAUGUUUUAUAAAUUAGUAUAUAAGUAUAUCUAUAUAUAUUGUAAUGUAUAUAUAUUGUAGUAUAUUUUAUAAGUAGUAGUAUAUAUACAUUGAAUAGUGCGUAUACANNNNNNNNNNNNNNNNNNNNNNNNNNNNNNNNNNNNNNNNNNNNNNNNNNNNNNNNNNNNNNNNNNNNNNNNNNNNNNNNNNNNNNNNNNNNNNNNNNNNNNNNNNNNNNNNNNNNNNNNNNNNNNNNNNNNNNNNNNNNNNNNNNNNNNNNNNNNNNNNNNNNNNNNNNNNNNNNNNNNNNNNNNNNNNNNNNNNNNNNNNNNNNNNNNNNNNNNNNNNNNNNNNNNNNNNNNNNNNNNNNNNNNNUUUGUGUAUAUAUUUUUUAAAUUCUAAUGUAGUAUAUACUAUAUAUAUAGUGUAUAUAUAUUAUUUAACAUAUUUAUAAUGUAUAUAGGUGGGUAUAUGUAAUGUAUAUUGAAAGAAAGUUUUUUUCUUAUAUUUUUUACCGGGUUUGACCGAUUUUUUAAUCGGGUUUGACCGAAUUUUUAUGGGUUUGACUGGGUUGGGUUAAGUGGGCCGGGUUAGGGUGGGUUUUAAUUUUUUUACUGUUUGGCCCAGCCCGACCCGUAUAGCGCCAAAACCGGCCCUCAACCUGGUUAAAAUAGAAGGGUCAGUUCCUGGUUGGCCCGACCCGGCCCGUUUGACACCCAUAAUCCACACUGGCGGAGCCACCUUGAAUCUAGGGGGUUCAUACCCCUUUCGACGAAAAAUUAUACUAUUUUGAUACAUCCUUUUUAUACAAGAAAGACAAGGAACAUACUAAAACACACUCCAAAAACAGUCCACUAGUUCAAGAACCGAGGACCCUUUUGAAGACCCCUCUCGGAUUCAAAAAACACCAAUAAGAACACAUUGUAUUGUGGUGUUUAACACCUAAAAACAACCAACCAACAAACUAACAAGAUGGAAGAACAACAAGAUGAACAACAACAAGAAGUUAUGGGUUCACUAGAAACAAGAGGAACGAUUACAAGUUACAAGCACUAACAAGUUUACAAUAAAAGAAAAAAGGGAUAGAUAGAUAGAUAGACUACACGAAGAUGUAAUCUUAAAAAUCCAAGAGCCUAUUCCACUCUUGACCUUUAACACUACAUACAAUGAUUUACCUAUCUCUUACGUGACAAGAGAUCGGAUUCCACCCCUCAAGCACAAACGUUUCCAUACAAAAAAUUUUAAGGGAAAAAGUUCAAAUAUGUCAUCAAACUUUGAGAAAAAAAUCAUUUAUACUAUCCGCUUAAAGUUUGGCUUAUUCAUGCCAUUGACGUUACAAAAAAACUUAUUUAUGCCAUUUUUUAAAACUGUCUAGUUUGAUGAUUUUUGGCAAAAUCAUUUUGUACACGUGGCCAAUAAAUUUUUUUCACGUCUUUUACAAGUCAAAAAAAAAAUUAAGGGAAAAGACUCAAAUAUGUCACUAAACUAUCUGAAAUGACUCAUUUAUGCCAUUAAAAGUUCGGCUCAUUCAUGCCAUCAUUAUUGCAAAAUCAGCUCAUUCAUGUAUUUACUUUUUAACAGUGCGUGUUCAAAAACAUCUUUUCCACGUGGCCUUUUAUUAGAGGUCCACAUCAUUAAUUAAAAAAAAUCAAUAUUAAUUUCAAAAUAUCUUAGAACCAUGAAAAAGAGCCGAUCUAUUUUAAGAUAACCCGACCCGUACCGAUUCUACAACAACAAUAAUUUUUUCGGUCAGAAAAAACAGUGAUUAAUGUAUAUCCUUUGGUUGUUUCUUGUUGAUUCCAAAUUAUUAUAAAUUUUAUGCUUAACACAGCAAGAAUGAAUUGAAUUAAUAUUAGAGAUAAGCAUCCAGUACCUCCGACACACUUCAACUUCACAGGGGUCCUAUUAACCCUGAACUCAAUUUUAGCUUAUUUUUGUCACCCUUUUGUGCUGCCAUAGUACCUUUAUUAUAUAAAAUGAGGAUCACAUCAAAGGUGUCAUAUAAGAUAAAAAGGCUAACAAAAGGUGCCACGUCAGCUAAAAUGAUUGAUUAAAAUAAGCUAAAAUUUAGUUCACGAGGAUAAUAGGACCCCGUGAAGUUGGAGUGUGUCGCAAAUUUGUUCAUAGUUUAGUAGAUGCUUUACUCAUAAUAUUACAAUGAAUUUAUAAGAAAGAUGUUUAUGUUUAAAAUGUCACUUCCUUGCAUAAAGUUACCAAUAAUUUCAAUAUUACAAUUAUUUGUUAAGAAAGAUGCUCACGUUUAAAAUGUUUCUUUCUUUCAUUAAGUGCCAAUAAUUUCCCUCGUAGACCUUUAUAGGGAACAGGAAACUAAGUUGUGGGCUCCAAAAAAAUAAUUACAAAAAAGGAAACUUAAGGGACAACUUAAUAUUAAUAUGCUAUUUUAAUCUCACACGUAUUAACUGUCACGAUCCGAACCGGGACCCUAGCCGUGACGAGCAUUCCCGAACCAUGAAGGUCCAGGAUGCCAAUCUAAAUCUGGUUAUCAUGCAGAACAUCCAUAUAAUAAGGAAAAUGCAGAAAUGAAACUGAACUUUACGGAAACAUGGUCAAUCUAAAUAAAUCAGUUUAAGGGUACGAAAAAUAAGCCCAACAACAACUGGCAAAUGUCGACCAUAGUUUGUGAAAUCUCUACUACAUAAUCCAAUCUGACAUAAUAUCUGAACAACUGGGACAAGGCCCCCAGUAGACCAAAACCAUACUGAAAUAGUAAUUCUCCAAGGAGAUUAGGCCUUCCGAAGCCAAGAAGGAUCACCCACUGACUCUGCGAACUCUGUCUGUCUGUAAAAUCUACUGAGUUACUGGACCCCUAGACUGUGCCUCAGAACCAGAGAGGUUGGAGGGAGGAGGGGGUCAAUACGAAUGUACUGGUGUGCAGAGCAAAUCAAAAUAAUCAUUUAUAAUAAACAUAUGUGAGAGCAGUUUAAAACAAUUCAUAAACAAUCGUGUAGUAAGAAAUCUCAUGGGCAUUUUUAAAGGACUCUGUGACAACAUCUGAAACCUGAGACACUCUUUGUACUACUUCUGCGUUAGGUGGUAUACCCUACAAUUCUGAAAAUUCCACGGGCUGUGUGGAAACUACCAUUAACUCGAUAGCUAAGCCCCCAACCCAAGUGUGCCGCAAGGGUUGGAGUCUCUGAAUCUACUACGCCACACGGCCGUAGCCAGCGUACAAUAAUAAUCUACCUAUAUCGAAAAAUACAGUUUCAGGCUAAGAGUUACUUGAACUCACUCCCUCUUCGGGUAACAACCUAACCCUCUUUUAGGCCUUUUUUAAAACUCUAUCAAAACAUGCAGUAUCUGAAAACAUGAUCUGAAAACAUACUCUGAAAACAUAAUCUGAAAACAUAAAUUUGUCAUGGCAUAAAUACAUAUGGUAUCGUCAAACCAUUGACUUGCAAGUCACAUCUUUGAGCCAUUAUUAGUCCAUCAUAAAUCUCUGUAUUCAAGACACAAGUUUUGAAUCUCACAUUUCAAUAAUUCAAUGCAAUAAAUCUUUUUUCCCAAAUCUCAUGUGAGCACAUACAAUUCUUUCUCCUGAUCACAAGGUUACAUUUAUAUCAAGAAAACCUUCUCAAAAUUCCAAAUCAUGUUCAAAUACCACAGUAUUGUAACAAAAACAUCUUUCAAAAUCACAAACCACAAUCUUUAAUUCAAUGCAAGAGAGGGAGUUCAUAAUUCAUGCUCUCAACAAUCUUUAAUCUAAAAUUCGUACAUAUAUAUAUAUAUAUAUAAAAUCAAUCUUAGGAGUAAAGGCCACAAGACCAAAGCAAUAGUAGUAUUAAAACUUUUAGAAAUGCAUAUCAAUGAUAUAAUUUUCAAAACACCCAUAAAAUACAUGCUUUAACAAUUUCAAAGCCCAUGUAAUUUUUAGGAUAAACCUCACGCACCUCUGUUUCAGAAGAUAAUGGAUGCUUAUUGAAGCCCGCGUUCUGGGGAUUCUGAGUAUGCAAUCAAUUUCGGAAACCCACAGUCGAAUCUUGAUCUACUUGGAUUUUUAUUUUGAAACCCUUAUGAGGGUUCUUGAGAAAUUUUGGUGAAAAUAUGAAUGAUAUGGGUUUUUGGGAGCUUAAUCCCAUGUUUAAUUUGAUAGGGAAAUGGAAAAUUACCAAAACGCCAUUAAAAUCUCGAAGGGAAAACUGAAAAUGGCCUGGGGUGAUCCACCAGGCAUCGCGCGCCUUAGAGCAUCGCUCUAGGCCAAGCGUCGCCUGCUAUAUCGCGGGGGGCCUUCCAGGAAUGGGCGAUUUGCCAAGCGACGCUUGCAGAUCGCGGGGUCUCACUGGAAUGGGACCCCAAAAAUGCCCUUAUGCUCAUCUACAAAUCCCAAAACUCACCCAAGACGUACCCUUAACUCUCCCGAUCACAAUACAAUAAGAAAAUCUGGAAUCGAAGGUCGGGAAGACUGAAAUGUUUUAUCCUGAAGGUCGUCAGCUAAAAGUGAGUCUAAGUCUUUCAAUACUUAGAAAAAUUUUCAUACUUUUCAAUACUAAGUGUACUCUACUAGAGGCUAACACAUGCACGACUUUCUACGGGGUGUUACAUUAUCCCCUUUGGGAUCAUUCGUCCCCGAAUGAUGAUGCAGAAAAACAGUCAUGCAUGAUUUUUGAACAAUUAAAGGCAUAGAAGGUAAUGACAAGGAUUGUACCUUCCAUUACUUUAUUCACCGGAUCAAAUAAACUUGGGUAUUUGUUUCUCAUGUCAUCUUUUGAUUCCCAAGUUCCUUCUUCAACCUUCUGAUUCCUCCACAAUACCUUUACCGAGGCUAUCUUUUUGCUUCUUAAUUUUCUAACUUAGCGAUCAAAGAUUGCUACAGGAUCUUCUUCAUAAGAUAAGGAAUCCGUCACUUUGAUCUCUUCAAUAGGUACUACUAACGAAUGAUCUCCCAUGCACUUUUUCAGCAUGGAUACAUGAAAUACCGGGUGGACAGAACCCAAACUUAUUGGUAACUCUAAUCCAUAUGCAACACCACCUACUCUUCUCAUAAUCUGAUAUGGUCCUAUAAAGUGAGGAAUCGGCUUACCUUUAUUCCUAAAACGCAUAACUCCCUUUAUGGGAGAAACUUUGAGAAAUACCCAAUCUCCAACCUCAAACUCUAAAUCUCUUCUCCUAACAUCGGCGUAGGAUUUCUGACGAAUCUGAGCUGUCUAAAGUCAUUCUACAAUAAGAUUCACAUCUUCCAUUGCCUGAUGAACAAGAUCAGGACCAAACAUCUGCAUCUCACCUACUUCAUACCACCCUAACGGAGAUCUGCAUCUCCUACCAUACAGUGCUUAAAAAGGUGCCAUCUUAAUAUUGGAAUGGAAACUAUUAUUGUAAGAAAAUCCUAUUAAUGGCAAGUGAUCUACCCAACUACCUUUGAAAUCUAUUACACAAGCCCUCAACAUAUCCUCAAGGGUCUGGAUGGUGCGCUCAGCUUGCCCAUCAGUCUGAGGGUGGAAUGCAAUGCUCAAAUUCACUUGGGUACCUAAACCCCUCUGAAAUUGUCUCCAAAACUGUGAAGAAAAUUGUGUACCAUGGUUGAAUAUGAUAGAGACAGGUGUCCCAUGCUAAUAAACGAUUUCAGCAAUGAACAACUUAGCAUAAUCUUCUCCUGAAUAGUUAGUCUUGACAGGCAGAAAGUGAGCUGACUUGGUCAUUCUAUCUACAAUUACCCAUAUGAAAUCAUACUGGUUUCGGGACUUCAGAAGUCCUGUAAUGAAGUCCAUAUUGAUCAUCUCCCAUUUCCAUAAAGGCAAUGCUAUCUCUUGGGAACUACCUCCUAGCCUCAAAUGUUCCACCUUCACUUGUUGGUAGUUCAAACACUUGGAAACAAAAUCAGCUACAUCACGCUUCAUAUUAUUCCACUAAUAUAUAGAUUUCAGGUCAUGGUACAUCUUAGUAGAGCCUGGGUGAAAAACAUACCUCGAAGUGUGAGCUUUACCAAGGAUUUUCUCCCGUAACCCAUCUACAUUCAGGACACACAAUCUAACCUGAUAUCUUAAAAUACCAUCACCACCAAUCUCAAAAGACAUGACUUUCUGCUGACCCAAAUCUUUCUUGAUUUGCAUCAAGAUGAGAUCUUCAAUUUGCUUCUCCUUAACCUCUACACAAAGGGAUGACUUAGCUAUCUCAUGGAUAGUCACUCCUCCUUCUUCGAAAUCCACAAGUCGCACUCCUAGAUUUGCAAGUUGGUGAAUAUCCUUCACCAUUUCCCUCUUAUCCUUCUCAACAUGAGAAAGACUACCCAUAGAUAACCUGUUGAGGGAGUCGGCUACCACAUUCGCUUUGCUGGGAUGAUAGUGCAAGCUCAUGUCAUAAUCUUUCAAAAGCUCCAACCAUCGCCUCUGCCUGAGAUUUAAUUCUUUCUGCAAGAAAGCAUACUACAGACUCUUGUGGUCAGUAAAUAUAUCAACAUGCACACCGUAUAAAUAAUGUCGCCAGAUCUUAAGCGCAAAUACCACAGCCUCUAACUCCAAGUCAUGAGUUGGGUAUUCCGCUCGUGCACCUUCAACUGCCUAGAUGCAUAAGCUACUACCUUCCCAUGCUUCAUAAGUACACAACCAAGUCCCACACGAGACGCAUCAUAGUAUAACAAAAAACCCUCUACACCUUCGAGAAGGGUCAAAACAGGUGCAGUAGUCAUCUUAUCUUCCAACUUCUCAAAGCUAUUAUCACACGAAUCGGACUAAGAAAACUUUACCUUUUUCUGAGUCAAUCUAGUGAGCGGAGUAGCUAUGGAGGAAAACCUCUCUACCAAUCUUCGAUUAUAACCUGCCAAACCCAAGAAGCUCCGAAUAUCGAUUGGAGUCGUGGGUCUGGGCCAUUUUCUCACUGUCUCUUCUUUCUAAGGAUCCACUCUAAUCCCAUCACUGGACAUAAUAUGUCCCAAGAAGGCAAUAGCAUUCAACCAGAAUUCACACUUAGAAAAUUUGGCAUACAGCUGAUGAUCCUUAAGGGUCUGAAGGAUGAUUCGAAGGUGAUUGUCAUGAUCCUCCCCACUCUUAUAAUAAAUCAAAAUAUUAUCAAUAAAUACAAUGACAAACAAGUUAAGAAACUGAUGGAAAACUCUGUUCAUAAGGUCCAUGAAGGCUGCAGGGGCAUUAGUCAACCCGAAGGACAUGACUAGAAUCUCAUAGUGACCGUAUCGGGUUCAAAAAGCCGUUUGUGGAAUGUAUGACUCUCUAACCUUUAACUGAUGGUAGCCCGAAUGAAGGUCUAUUUUUGAUAGUGACCUUAUUUAACUGACAGUAGUCUAUGCACAUACGAAAGGACCCAUCUUUCUUUCGCACGAAAAGUACAGGUGCACCCCAGGGGGAAACACUAGGAAGUAUAAAACCUUUAUCUAGGAGUUUUGCUAACUGCUCUUUCAAUUCUUUUAACUCUACAGGAGCCAUUCUAUAUGGCAGAAUAGAAAUUGGAUGAGUGUCUGGCAACACGUUGAUGCCAAAAUCUAUCUCCCUAUCAGGUGGUAUCCCUGGGAGAUCUUCGAGAAAGACUUCUAGGAACUCAUUCACUACUAGGACUGACUGAAGAGGUAGACUUUCAACAUUAGAGUCUUUUACUCGGACUAGAUGAUAUAGAAAACCUCUAGAAAUAAGUCUUCGAUCUCUAAGAUAAUAGAUGAAGUGCCUUCUAGGAGCUAAGGAAUGUCUCGCCCAUUCUAUUACUGGCUCAUUCGGAAAUAAAAAAGUGACUCUUAGGGUUCUACAGUUUAAUAUUACAUAACAUGAUUAGAGCUAGUCCAUCCCUAAGAUAGAAUCAAAGUCAACCAUAUUGAGUUUUAUAAGGUCUGCCACAGUAUCCCGGCCAAGAAUAGACACCACAUAAUUUCUAUACACCCUCCUAGCCAUAAUAGAAUCACCUACAGGAGUGGAAAUAGAGAAGGGUUCGGCAAUAUCUUCGGGUUCAAACCCAAAACCAACAGCCACAUACGGGGUCACAUAAGAUAAGGUAGACCCGUAAUCAAAAACACAUAAACAUCACAGACAAAGAUUCACAACGUACUGGUGACAACAUUUGGAGAGACUUCAGCCUCCUGACGGUUGGUCAAAGCAUACAACCGAUUUCGACCAGUUCCCAUAGCUGAAGUGGUAUCCUUCUAAGAGGGUGGUGCAAAUGAAUUUGCCUGUUACUUGGCUCCUCCAACAUUACCCUUUGCUGCCGGACAGUCUCUCUAAAUAUGGCCUAGUUGGCCGCAUGAAUAACAUACCAAAGCUCCAAACUGACAUCUCCCAAGAUGAUUCCUCUCGUAUCUCCCACAGCGAGGGUAUGACCGAGGGUUCUGAGCUACACUUCCCUAGGAUUGCAUACCCUGUACUCUCGGCCCUUGGCUAAACUGAAAAUUCUGGGGCCACUGAUCCACUGGAGGUCUGGGCGCUGGGGCACUGGCGACUGAUUAUGCAUUACCCCAAUUCUUCUUCUUCUGCCAUUUACUUUCCCACUUACCACUUUACGGCUGACUGUGAUGUUGUUCUACAGUUCUGUUUCUCUUUGCCUGUCUGUCUCUUUCCUUAGCUUCAGAAAAUUUCUUCUUCUUCUCCUCUACCUGCUGCAUAUAGACUGACAGUCUAGCGAAAUCCAUAUCCCGAUUCAACAUCACUCCCUGAAAGUUAAGUGCCAAGUCAUCUGAAAGGCCAGAUGCAAAUUUCCUCAUCCGGGCUCCCAUAUUACUAGUCAACUCUGGUGCAUAGUGGGCUAGUUUAUUAAACUUCAAAGUGUACUCCUGGACACUCAUACUGCCCUGCUUUAGAUUCAUAAACUCUUCUGCCUUGGCCUCCCUCAACUCCAGAGGAAAGAACCGAUCAAGAAAAUUUUCCACAAAUUUUUACCAAACUGUGGGCUCAGCACUCUCACCUUUUGAAUCCUCCCACUCGGCAUACCAUUGAUUCGCAACAUCAUUAAGCUGAUAAGUCGCUAAUUCCACCCCUUAUACCUCAUCCACAUGCAUUACCUUGAAGAUAUUUUCCAUCCCAUCCACAAACUCAUAUGGAUCUUCCUCCACCUUGGUGCCAGUGAACUUAGGUGGGUUUAUUUUCAUGAAAUAACUGACCUUAGUAGCCUCAGACAUAAUAGAUGCAGACCUAAAAUCUUCUAAUCAUUGAUCCUGGUUAGCUACCAACUGUGUCAGCAUAUGAAUAGACUGUCUGAAUUCUGCAUUCGAAAUAUCUCUCUGACCAGUCGAGGGACGGUUGACAUCACCGUUGAGCCCGAGGUGGACUAGUCGGGACUAGAGGGAUUCCCGGAGUAGGGACAGGUUCUGGAGUGUGAGCUCUAUUACGGGUCCGCAUCCCAUGGGGGGGACGGACCUCAUCUGCCUGAGCAUUCUGAUCGAUGAUACGACAUAGAGACAUAACUAUGUUUCUAAAAUACAAGAGAUCAUUGAUUAGGGGAUAGUUUAGACUCUGAAGCAUGAACUAAAUCACAAAGAAGGGAAACAUUCCUAAACGCCUAGUAGCCCCCUGCUUAUAAGUGUGGCGCGCUACACACCCAUAAAUAAGACUCUCCCCGACACGAUUUCGUAGAUACCCUGGGACCAUGAACCGUGCUUUGAUACUAAGUUUUUCAUGACCCGAACCGGGGCCCUAGCGGUGACGAGCAUUCCCAAACUAUGAAGGUCCAGGAUGCCCAUCUAAAUCUGGUAAUCAUGCACAACAUUCAUAUAAUAAGGAAAAUGCAAAAAUAUAACUGAACUUCACGGAAACAUUGUCAAUCUAAACAAAUCAGUUUAAGGGUACAAAAAAUAAGCCCAACAACAACUGACAAAUGUCUACCAUAAUCUGCAAAAUCUUUACUACAUAAUCCAAUCUGACAUAAUAUCUGAACAACUGGGACAAGGUCCCAAGUAGACCAAGACCAUACUGAAAUAGUAAUUCUCCAAGGAGAUUACACCUUCCGAAGCAAAGAAGGCUCACCAACUGACUCUGCGAACUCUGUCUAUAGAAUCUACUGAGUAACUGGACCCCUAGACUGUGCCUCAGAACCUGAGAGGUUGGGAGGGGGGAGGAGGUCAAUACGAAUGUAUAGGUGGGUAGAGCAAAUCAAAAUAAUCAUUUAUAAUAAAUAUAUGUGAGAGCAGUUUAAAACAAUUCAUAAACAAUCGUGUAGUAAGAAAUUUCAUGGGCAUUUUUAAAGGACUCUGUGACAACAUCUGAAACCUGAGACACUCUUUGUACUACUUUUGCGUUAGGUGGUAUACCCUAUAAUUCUAAAAAUUCCACGGGCUAUCUAGAAACUACCAUUAACUCGACAGCUAAGCCCCCAACCCAAGUGUGCCUCGAUGGUCAGAGUCUCUGAAUCUACUACGCCACACGGCCGUAGCCAGCGUACAAUAACAAUCUACCCGUAUCGGCAAAUACAGUUUCAGGCUAAGAGUUACUUAAACUCACGCCCUCUUUUGGUAACACCUAACCCUAAUUUUAGCCCCUUUUUAAAACUCAAUCAAAACAUGCAGUAUCUGAAAACAUGAUCUAAAAACAUACUCUGAAAACAUAAUCUGAAAACAUAAAUUUGUCAUGGCAUAAAUACAUAUGGUAUCAUCAUACCAUUGACUUGCAAGUCACAUCUCUGAGCCAUUAUUAGUCUGUCAUAAAUCUCUGUAUUCAAGACACAAGUUUUGAAACUCGCAUUUCAAUAAUUCAAUGCAAUAAAUCUUUUUCUCAAAUCUCAUAUGAGCACAUACAAUUCUUUCUCAUGAUCACAAGGACACAUUUAUAUCAAGAAAACCCUGUCACAAUUCCAAAUCAUGUUCAAAUGCCAGAGUACUGCAACAAAAACAUCUUUCAAAAUCACAAACCACAAUCUUUAAUUCAAUGCAAGAGAGGGAGUUCAUAAUUCAUGCUCUCAACAAUCUUUAAUCUAAAAUUCAUACAUAUAUGUGUUUAUAUAUAUAAAUCAAUCUUAGGAGUAAAGGCCACAAGACCAAAGCAAUAGUAGUAUUAAAACUUUUUGAAAUGCAUAUCAAUGAUAUAAUUUUCAAAACCCCAUAAAAUACAUGCUUUAACAAUUUCAAAGCCCAUGUAGUUUUUAGGAUAAACCCCACGCACCUCUGUUUCGGAAGAUAAUGGAUGCUUAUUAAAGCCCGCGUUCUGGGGAUUCUGAAUAUGCAAUCAAUUUUGGAAACCCACAGUCGAAUCUUGAUCUGCUUGUAUUUUUAUUUUGAAACCCUUAUGAGGGUUCUUGAGAAAUUUUGGUGAAAAUAUGAAUGAUAUGGGUUUUUGGGAGCUUAAUCCCAUGUUUAAGUUUAUAGUGAAAUGGAAAAUUACCAAAACGCCAUUAAAAUCUCGGAGGGAAAACUGAAAAUGGCCUGGGGUGAUCCACCAGGCGCCGCCCGCCUUAGAGCAACGCUCUAGGCCAGGUGUCGCCUGCUAUAUCGCGGGGGCCCUUCCAGUAACGCCAGGCGACGCCUGCAGAUCGCGGGGUCUCACUGGAAUUGGACCCCAAACAUGCCCUUAUGCUUGUCUACAAAUCCCGAAACUCACCCGAGACGUACCCUUAACUCCCCCGAUCACAACGCAACAAGAAAAUCUGGAAUCAAGGGUCAGGAAGACUGAAAUGUUGUAUGCCGAAGGUCGUCAGCUGAAAGUGAGUCUAAGUCUUUUAAUACUUAGAAAAAUUUUCAUACUUUUCAAGACUAAGUGCACUCUACUAGAGGCUAACAUACGCACGACUUUCUACGGGGUGUUACAUUAAGGGACAACGUUAUACAUCGUAACAAAUAGGUACUUAGUUUUGGCAAACCAAAAUGUAACUAGUGUCAGAUAUGGGUUCUCCAGGAUUUGUAACUUUUGAUACAAUAUAUAUAGAGAUAGAUAGAUAGAUAUCGAAAAUGCUACUGCCAUAUCAACAACUAUUAUAUUUAUUUAUGAUUUCACAUAUAUAAAUCAUAGAAUAUAUAUAAAUUGACUUCUCACCAUUUCCCCUAUCAUAUGUUUCGACAGCUUUAGUGAAGAAAAAGUUGUGUACCCUAAUAGAUAGAAAAAUUAUCAAUUUAAAGUAAUUAUUACUUAAUCUGGAACGUUCAUCAGGAGACCAUUCUACGAACGAGAUUUAUUCUUCGUUAAAUAUUAGUGAUGAGCUUCACAUUAAUUUGGCUUAUGAUUAUAAUGAUGUUUCUUUGAGACUUAUCCUGUAUAUAAUAUCUCAAAAAGAAAUGUAUAUACACACAUUCUUACGAUAAAUAGACAUCCAUUUAUGUAUAUUAUUAACACAUCAUUGAGGUUUGGUCCUCAAAACAUCAUAAGCAAUAUUCGCGCAGAAGGUAAAGUCGUGAAAGAGUUCUUUAGCAAGGGUUUCUUCUUUCAUUGUCUCUCACGACGUUUUUGCUUCGGUUUCUUUUUCCUUUUCUCUUUUCGGGAAGGUGUGGGUGAUGAUGGUGGGAGUUUGCAUGUUCUUAUGCUUGUAGAAAAUUGUGGAUUCUGGAUGUAGCAGUUGAGUUGUGUAUAUUGAAUUCGUGUAAACAUAUAAGGGGUAUUCACUGUGAUUCUAGUUUUUAAUUUUAUGGCUUGUUUCCCUGUGUGUGAACCCUACAUGAAGAUUUAACAGUCCUGUUUAUGCUUAUGGUCGUGUAAUUGUCCACGUUUCAUCAAAGGUAAUUGUUGUAUUUUUCUUAGUCUUCUUGCUAUUAUAGGUACAUGAUAGUUCUCAUCUUAUAAGUAGGAGAUUGACGUCAAUAACUGAAAAGAAAGCAAUUAACGUUUUUUGUUCCUUCAUUAGCAAGGAGUAAAAUACUGAAGUGCUUCAUCGAAAACCAAUCUGAUGCAUUGUUAUUUACAUCUUUUAAAGAUUGGUUUGACUUUUGAAUCUCCGUUCUAAAAAAAUCAUGUUAUCAUGGUUUAGAUUUGUUUCUUGUGGUUGUGGGAGUAUAUAUUACUGUGUGUUGGUGAUCGUAUAUUUGAGAUUUGAGUUAUAAUUUGUGGAAUCCUAUUUCAAUUGGCAACGACGCAUACAUCUUAGUGUAAGAAUUUGGCAUCACUCUUCAAACCUAUUAAAACUGGACCGUUGAUUUGCUAACAAAUGGGUUUGAUUAGUUUUGUGACCUGAUAUGAAUAAAAAGUUAUAUUUAAGGUUAACUGAAGAUAUGAACUGGGAAGUUUUCUGACCAAGUUUAGGUGAGUAGUAACUAGGGAUAGAUGUACAUGAUGUUAAAUGAAAGACACUGAGGUGCAACUGCAGAAAUUCAGUAAACUUAUGUUGGUAAGGCUAAGUUUAUAUAAUUUGUUUGAAACUAAUAUUAUUUUCCUAUAUUUGUUGAGCAUAAUUUUACUUCUAAUUGGUUGUUUUAUUUUGAAUGUGUAGAAACAAUGCGUGGGAUCAAAUUUGAAUGGUGGGCGCCACAACUCAACUUUAUCUAUUCAAGCGAAUGAUGAAGAAUUUUUAAAAUAUUUUGAUAUACGUUUAUAUACAUUUGAUUUUUUGUCGAACUUGGUACAAAUUUUUAUUAUGUUGUUUUUCUAAUUAGUAUGUAAAAGACAUGGUUUUUUGAAUUUCAUUACAAAUCUCUGCGCUUCAAUUAUUUUUUAGCUAAUUGAUGCAUGUGAUUAUAUAUAAAUAUGUAUUUUUAUGUAAUGUGCUUAGUGAUGUAUAUAUUUCCAUCAAAAUAAUUAUUUUUCAAUUAGAAAUUAGGUACUAACACUUUAUAUGCCUAAUGCCAUUUCUGUAAAUUAUGGUUUGAACUAUUAAAUUUUAGACAAUAUUACAACACUUUAAAAGUGUGGCUAAAACAUGCUUAUACUUUACAAAUGUUGUUAUAGAGGAUGUAUAAAAGGCUACGAUUUUGAAGUGUGGCUAGUAAUAAAGAAAAGGCCAUAUUUUUUAAGUGUAGUUAUAGAGGUGCUACAAAAGGCUACGCUUGUGAAGCGUGCACAAUAGCAAAAUAAAGGCAAUGUUUUUUAAGUGUUGUUGUAGAAGUGCUACAAAAGGCUAUGCUUGUGAAGCGUGCCCAAUAGAAAAACAAAGGCAAUACUUGUAAGUGUAGCUUUAUCAAAUAAAAGUGUUGCCAAUGACAAGCUGCAAAGUGAGGCCUUUAUAUCUUAAUGGCCACACUUAUUAAAUGUAGUUGAUACGACAAUACUUGAAAAGCGUGGUGUUUGAUCAAAGGUUAUGCCUUUUUAGGCCACCCUCCUAAAAGUGUUGCCUAAAAUCCGAAAGUGUAGCCUUUGAUCAAAGGGCAUAUUUCCGCUAUUCUAGACCACACUUUACAAGAGUGGCAAUAGGACUAAAAUCUUACGCAAAUUGACCUAUUUAGUAAACGCGAUUACAAAAUAGUCAAGGAGUACUAUCCCUUCACCUUGUAAAUAUCCCUCUUGGUAAUUAAUAAAAUUCCUUUACUUGCCAAAAAGAUUCAUUCUUCACAUCAAUAAAUUAAUUUAACAAACAUUUGAAACAGAACAAGUUAUUUGGAACAAGAGUCUCCAAGAGCAUGUUCAACAUGCAAGAAGUUGAUUCCUGAUCUUCUCUAGUAUCCCUACAACAUCUUUCAUGGUUGUCCGUCUAGCUGGAAAUUCAACACAACAAUCUAGCGCCACUUUCAUGAUUGAUGCUACACAAACUAGCUUCUUCUUCAAGUGAUUAUCCAUUGGUGGAACCAAGUUGGAAUCCACAAAAUCCAUUACUGCAUCAGGAAGUAAAUAACUCACCCAUUGUUUCAAGCUAAUAUCUCCCUCAAACUCACUAGGCUUUCUCCUAGUAAACGUUUCCAGCAACAUGAUUCCAUAACUAUACACGUCACAUUUAGUAGACACCAAUCCAUCUUGUCCAUACUCUACAAUCAAAAAAUUAUUUAAAGAUGUAACAUAAUAACUUGGUGGAAAACGAGGAAGGGAAAAGAAAUGUUCAAAGCAAAAUCAAAAGACGUACCUGGUGCAAUAUAACCCAAUGUUGCUAAUGUUUUUGUGUAUAAAUCACUCUCAUCUUCACCAAGAAGUUUUGAAAUGCCAAAGUCGCUUAGAUGUGCAACCAUAUCCUCAUCCAGCAAGACGUUACUAGGCUUUACGUCACUGUGAAUCACAGGCGAUGAGCACCCAUGGUGAAGAUAUUCCAAAGCACAUGCCACAUCCAUCAUUAUGCUUAGUCUCUGCUUGAUGUCGAGGAAGUAGCUGUGAGAAUACAAAUACUUCUCAAGACUCCCAUUAGGCAUAUAAUCGAGAACUAAAGCCUUGAAAUCAAGAUUGGAACAACUAGUAAUGACUUUUACGAGAUUCCUAUGGCGAAGGCUACGCAAAACUUCACAUUCCGUGUCAAAACCCUUGAAUGCUGCAUCCAGUUGCAGAUUGAACACUUUAACUGCAAUGGCAGUUCCACUNNNNNNNNNNNNNNNNNNNNNNNNNNNNNNNNNNNNNNNNNNNNNNNNNNNNNNNNNNNNNNNNNNNNNNNNNNNNNNNNNNNNNNNNNNNNNNNNNNNNNNNNNNNNNNNNNNNNNNNNNNNNNNNNNNNNNNNNNNNNNNNNNNNNNNNNNNNNNNNNNNNNNNNNNNNNNNNNNNNNNNNNNNNNNNNNNNNNNNNNNNNNNNNNNNNNNNNNNNNNNNNNNNNNNNNNNNNNNNNNNNNNNNNNNNNNNNNNNNNNNNNNNNNNNNNNNNNNNNNNNNNNNNNNNNNNNNNNGAUAUAUUAUUAUGAGAAAGGUCUAGGAAUUCCAAACCUACCAUGUUGCUAAUUGAGUCAGGUAUAGAUCCUUGCAACUUGUUGUGUCUCAAAGAAAGGUGCACCAGAUUUUGCAAGCCUCCAAUUUCUCUUGGAAUUCCAUUUGAGAAUUGAUUCAUUGAUAGAUCCAUCCUGGUUACCGCCUUUAGAUUUCCAAUUUCUGGAGGUAAAGAACCAACCAUGUUGUUUGACGAUAAGUCAAGAACCACUAGAUCUUGAAGGUUCCCUAAGCUUGGUGGUAUAUUGGAACUCAAUUUAUUGGAACCCAGAUGUAUCUCCCUAAGGGAAGUAAUAUUCCCUAAACAAUUAGGAAGAGAUCCUGAAAGUUGAUUUUGACCCAAGUAAAUAUCACCCAAAUGCUUCAAGUUACAUAUAUGAUCUCCAAUAAAUCCUGUUAAUUUAUUGUUAGCCAAGUCGAAGCGCUGGAGCUUUCUCAAGUUUCCAAUUGAUGUGGGAAUCGAUCCAACCAUGUUGUUUCCGGAAAGAUAAAGGAAUAAUAAGCUGCCUUAGCACCCAAUCUCAUUAGGAAUUUGCCCUUGGAUUUUACAACUGUUGGCGACAAAUGUUCUAAGAGAUGUGGAAAGGUUCCCCGUGGAGGCAGGAAGCACGCCGUUUAGAGGAUUCAAAUAUAGAGCUAGAAAUGUUAAAUUUCUACAAUUGGUUAAGGAAGUCAGGAAGCUUAAUGAUGAGUCACUGGUUAAAUUGUUUUCUCCUAAAUUUAGUAACUGUAGAUGAGUCAAAUAUCCAAGAGAAUUAGGAAUCAAGCCAGUGAGUUUGUUGCUGGCAAGCUCAAGAAUAGUAUGUUUUGAAAAAUUGGAGAUGGAAUGAGGAAUAGUCCCAAAAAGAUUGGUUAAGUUGCCCAGAUAAAGCUCUUCAAUGUUGGGUAAGAUAGAAUCUAUGUUUGGUGGGAGGCUUCCUGAUAGAUUGUUGAAUGAAAUAUCAGUUGCUCUCAAUCCUGAUAUGUUGAAGAUCUUCAUAUCAAGAGAAUCACUAAAACUAUUAGCCGAAAGAUCAAGUUUCUCCAACUCAACGAGAUUCCUUAUCUCUUUGGGUAUUUCACCUGUCAACACAUGAAGAAAGAAUGAAUACAAGUGAGAUGAACUAGUUAGGUCAGUGCUUAUCUAUGUGAUUCAUGCUUUUGUUUGACUUGAUGGAGAAGAAUUUUGAAUUGUAAUUGGCAAUGGGAUAAGGUGUCGACAAGAACUCAUAAAAUUAUGUUCUAACUCUAUACUUCUGUUUCCUUCAUUUAUAUUGUUAUUGAUCAAAGAUUUGAGAAGGAUGUACAUAUUGGACUUCUUAAUUUAACUUUCUAUGGAUUUCUAUUGUGUAGUUUUGUAUUUUAUAUGGACUCAAAUAUAUAAAAUGAUACUUUAUUGGAAGUGUGCUAACUACUAUCAGAUCGUGUCUAUUUCAAAGAAUCAGUUUGGUUUUAUGCCUGGUCGCUCGAUGACAGAAGCAAUCCUCCUGGUAAGGGGAUUGGUGGAGCAAUAUAGGGAAAGGAAAUGGGAUUUUCACAUGGUGUUCAUCCACUUAGAGAAGGCUUAUGACAAAGUCCCGAGGGAGGUUCUGUGGAGAUGCUUAGAGGCUAGAGGGGUCCCGAUGCGUACAUCAUAGCUAUUAAGGACAUGUACGAUGGAGGGAAGACUCGGGUGAGAACGGAGGGAGGGGACUCAGAGCCUUUUUUGGUCGAGACGGGAUUGCAUCAGGGUUUGACUCUUAGUCCAUUCCUGUUUGCGUUGGUGAUAGACGUAUUGACACGGAGUAUUCAAGGGGAGGUGCCUUGGUGUAUGUUGUUUGUGGACGAUGUAGUGCAGAUUGAUGAGACACGGGAGGGUGUGAAUGAAAAAUUGGAGGUUCGGAGGCAAACCCUUGAAUCUAAAGGGUUCGGGUUGAGUAGGUUUAAGACAGAGUAUAUGGAAUGGAAGUUAAGUGAAUUGAGGCAGGAGGACGAUAAAGUGGUAAGGUUGGAUUCCCAGGAUGUUCGUAAGAGGGAUAGUUUUAAGGAUAUCUCUAACCAUAUCGGAGCAGGUUGGAUGAAGUGGAGACUCGCCUCGAGAGUGUUGUGUGACAAGAAUGUGCCACUAAAGCUUAAAGACAAAUUCUACAGAGUAGCAGUCUAUCCUUCUAUGCUAUAUGGAGCAGAGUGUUGGCCAAUCAAGAACUGCACAUUCAAAAUAUGAAUGUGGCGGAAAUGGGAAUGUUGUGUUGAAUGUGUGGCCUUAAUAGAGGGGAUAGAGUUAGGAAUGAGACUGUCCGGGAGAAGGUUGGAUUGGCGUCAGUGGAGGAUAAGAUGCGGGAAGGAAGACCGAUAUGGUAUGUGCAUAUGAUAAGAAGGGGCACGAAUGCCCCAGUUAGUUCGUAGGUGUGAGAGGCUAGCGUUGGAUGACUUCAGGGGAAGGAGCGGUAGGCCGAAGAAGUACUGGAGAGAAGUGAUUAGACAUGUUAUGGAGCAGCUUCUGCUUACUGAGGACAUGACCCUAUAUAGGAAGGUGUGGAGGUCGCGGAUAAGGGUAGAAGGCUAGGAUGUGUGCGUGGGUUAGUAAGUAGCUAGAAGAGCUCAGAUUUAGUUGGGUUAGUAACCCUAGGACUGUGCCCAUAGGUAGGGUCCAGGAUCAGGCAGGUUUGGGUCUCUUAUUUCUUAUUGCGCUUAUUUCAUAUUGCUAUGAGUUGUAUUUUAGUGUGUCUUACUUCUUUUUAUGUUAUGCCAUUCAUCAUGCUUCAUAUUUCAUUACGCUCUUGUCUAAUUUUCUCUAUCUUGAGGGAAGUAGCGGUAUGGACUGCAUACAUUCUAUCCUCCCCAGACCUCACUUUAUGGGAAUACAAUGGGUUUGUUGUUGUUGUUGUUGCUAACUACUACCAGAAGUUCAAAUUUACUGUUUAAAAAUUAAAAUACGCUCCUCAUUUGCUUUUUCUUGUCACACUUUUGAAGAUUUAUCUGUAAUUCUUACAUUUUUAUUACUCAUUACAUGCAUGUAUUCAUAAAAUUUUAAUAGUUCUAAUGGAUCUGUAAAAAUUAACAUGAGACACAUGUGCAAUGCACGUGUAUAUAUUGAGAGACACCAUUUGAAUAUAUAUGUACCUAUAAGCUUAUUUCCACUAAUCUGUAGACCUUGCACGUUGGUUAAGUUGCCAAUCUCCCGUGGUAAGAAUCCACUAAGAUUGUUCUGCGCCAGUGACAAAAGUUGCAGAGAUGAGAUAUUGAAUAUGGAGAUCGGGACAGAGCCGGUAAUCUGUUUUUUCUCCAUGUCCAACUCUACCAAAUUAACAAGAUUUCCAAUUUGUUGUGGAAUUAUCCCUGCAAUUAAUGUGAAAUAAAAUAAAAUUCUGAAGUAAUAAGAUACAAUAAUGCUAUUAUUCAUGAGAUAUGUAACGUACCAGUGAAAAGGUUAGUUCCGAGAGCCAAGAUCUGCAGAUUAGUUAAACUUCCAAUUUCACUAUGUAUUGGUCCAUCAAACUCAUUUUCCAAUAAACACAAAAUUUGAAGUUGUGAACAAUUUGAUAAGCUUGUAGGCAUAUGACCGCGAAGCUUGUUAUAAGACAGAUAAAGCCCUUUGAGUAUUGGGAGACCAUUGCAUAAACCAUUGGGAAGAUAUCCUGAUAAGCUAUUGCCUGUAAAUGCAAUGACUUCAAUUCUUGAGAUAUUGAAAAUUGUGAAUGGUAUAGAACCCGUUAGCAGAUUAUACUGUAUGCCCAAAAACUUCAUGUUGUGAAGAUUGCCAAUCCCUUCUGGAAUGUUUCCUUUAAGUGAAUUAAAAGUUAUAUCUAAAGUCUCCAACCUCGAGGCAUUCGAGAGUGACAGAGGAAUGGAACCUAUGAGCUUGUUACCCCUUAAGUGUAAUUCUCUAAGGUUUAUAAGACUUCCAAUUACUUUUGGGAUUUGACCCUCUAUGGAAUUGAAGUUCAGAUUUAAAGUCUCAAGUGUGGAAAUAUUAGAAAAUGAAGACGGGAUGGAACCAGUGAAACUAUUAUUCCCAAGAUUUAGCAAUUGAAGCCGGUGUAAAAACCCAAACCAAGAAGGUACCUCGCCUCUGAAGUUGUUGACACUUAACCUAAGAAACUUAAGCCGACGCAAGCGUGCCAUUUCUUGAGGCAAAUUUCCAUGGAAAUUGUUGCUUCCCAAGUCGAUAUAAACAAGAAAUGAGAGGUUUCCAAAUUCACGGGGAAUCUUGCCUGUAAGAGACAUGUUAGAAAGAUUCAAGGAAUUUACUCGUUGGCGACGAGAACCACAAGUGACCCCAACCCAUUGGCAAACGGACCAAACAGGAGACCAACUUUCAUCCAAGAAGCGAAAGGGGUCGGAAAUGAUUUGGGAUUUUAAAGACAGAAGAGCAAAUUGAUCUGUAGUAAUGUUGGUUUGGGUCAUGACUUAACUAGCCAUAAGCAAGAAGAGUGUUGAGAGAAAAAAUGUGAAGGCUUUCUCCAUUAUUGCAAAACUUAGUAGGUAUACUCUAUAACACGUGGUUUUGAGACUUUAAAUAGAAAUGAGGUCUCCCUUUUGGUCAUAUCAAUACUAAUACCACCAAAUCAACCAAGUCUUUCACAUCUCAAUCAGAAUUAUAAAUAUGGUUGCAGAAAAGUCCUCUAUUGAGCAAAGACUUGGCAAGUCAACCAAGUCUUGCUUUAGUUUUUUGUGUGCUUAAUUCUUAGGAAAUAGUCUUGCUUUCAUAAUUUGUAGAACUGUGUGGUGAAGAGUAGUUCCAAUAAUAUUCAAAUCUUGUUAUUUGGUUGCUCCAAACACUAAUGUCUAAUGCUGAUAGAAUUGAAGAAUUAAACCAACUCAUUGGUGUAACUGGUGAAGUUUUUGUGAUGUGAGCAGAAGGUCAUUAGUUCUAGCAGUGGAAACGACCUCUAACAAAAAAUGCAGGAUAUGGCUACGUACGAUAGAUCCUUAUGGUGAUACCCUUUCCUAGAUCCGAUGCAUAGCAGGAGCUUAGUGCACCGGGCUGCCCUUUUACUGGCAAUAAAACAAGAAGUUGCAUUGAAAUUAAUAAAGUUCCGUGGAGUCCAUAAUUGCAUAAAAGGAAUCAAAGUAAUGGUUACAGAGUGUUGAGGCACUUCUUCGAUGGUCCUUAUACGACUACCAGAGCGCUAUGAAGAAUUCAUUAUUUAUAUAUAUUUUAGGAUGGUGAGAGGAAGUGCAAAAUAAGGAUUGAUUUCGCAUAAGGGAAAGGUGCGAUAAAUACAUCUAAUGAAAGUUAUUAGCAGCAAUAAAUAUCCAUUUUAACAAAGAGUUCUAAAACUUUUACUUACAUUAAUUGAUUGACAUUGGAUCUAAUGUCGCUAUAGACUUUAGGACAUUUAUAAAGAGUGCUAACCUGCAAUCGUCUGCAAUAAUAUUGCCUCUAAAACAGUAUUAAGGGUUAAUUAAGCUAUUGCCUUAAAUAUCUUUUUUGUACUGAAAAGGAUAUUUGUUACUAUUUAUUUUGUAUGAUAAUUAUAUUUAUUGUAAUGCCUCGAAAUCUAAUCUAAUUAUAUUUAUUGUAACGCCUCGAAAUCUAAUCCUGAAACGUCACACGGUGCGGUAUGAACUGCGUACAUCUUACUCUCUCCAAACCCCACUUUGUGGAAAUACACUGAAUUUGUUGUCGUUGUAGGUUGUUACAAGUAUCCUGACAUUUCAUAUUGCAAGAAGUGGUUGAAACAUAAUUGCAUAUGGAGCCACUUCUAACUAAAAGUUGUUGUAACAUAAUUGCAUAGUACCACUUGUUGAAGUGCAUGAAAAAUUAAUUUUAUGUCCCUUUUCUCAAACGAUUAUAAUAGAAUUUUGUGUUCCCACAAAUUGGAGUCUGGAAGAGGUAAAUUAUACGCAGUCCAUACUGCUAUCUCCAAAGAAGUAGAAAGGUUGUUUCCGAUAGACCCUUGGCUCAAGAUAAAGGACAGUAAAUAAGGUUGUAAUGAAAUAAGAAGCAGGAUGAAUGACAUAACACAAAUAUGGAAUAAAAAUAACAAACAUAGAAAUAUGAAAUAAGAGAAAUUAGAGCACUACGAAAUAAGGACUAAGAAAUAGGGCAUCCAUCAAGUAGGAACAUACACACAGACCAAAGAUUACUAACACGGCUACACAAGAUCUCACCUAACCACUUGCUACAACCCACACACUCACACUAGCCUUCUACUCUUAUCCGCGCCCUCCACACCUUCCUAUCUAGGGUCAUGUCCUUAGUAAGCUGUAGCUGCUUCAUGUCAUACUAGCUGCUUCCCUCCAGUAUCGCUUUGGCCUAUCUCUACUCCUCCUGAAACCAUCCAAAGCUAGCCUCUCACACCUAUGAACUGGGGCUUCUGUGCCCCUCCUCAUCACAUGCCCAAACCAUCUCAAACUUCCUUCCCGCAUCUUAUCCUCCACCAAAGUCACUCCCACCUUCUCUCGGAUAAUCUCAUUCCUAAAUCGAUCCCCUCUAGUAAGUCCACACAUCCAAUGCAGCAUUCUCAUUUCCGCCAUCUUCAAUUUUUUAAUGUAAAAGUUCUUAACUGGCCAACACUCCGCUCUAUACAACAUAGUCAGAUGUGUUUCAUACAACGAAUGUUGCUUUAUAAUUAAUUGAAAAAAAAAAAAACCAGUAAGGGACAUGAUUAUGAUGUUCUACCAGCUUUGAUUAAAAAAAGGAAAAAAUAAACACUCACCUUUUUCACUUCUAAUCUGUAUAUAUUGUUGAAUAAACAUUGUAAAGUAUCAACACUUGUCCUCUUCAAUAAAUUUUCUUUUCAAGGUGUUCUGUAAAAUGGGUCUAAAGUCUGUGUUGUGUGCCCAAAUAGAAGUGAAAGCUAAUAAGGAUGCUUUUCAUGAUGUUUUUACACAUAAGCCACACCACAUCUCUACUAUGUGCCCUUUGCAUAUACAAGGUUGUGAGCUUAUUGAUGGUGUCUUUGGAACUGUUGGCUCCAAACUUUUUUGGACCUAUAACCUUGGUAAGCCAAAAAUAUUUUAAAAAUCCCUAAAAAAAAAAAAAAUCGUUCAAGUGGGGUCUUACUGUUUAUGAAAUCAUUUCCUUUAAACUAUGUUAAGCUUCACACUACGGGAAAAUUUGGCUAUUAAGCCUUUUUUAGUUUGCUGUUAGAUUUCUGUAUUACUUGAGCUAAGAAUAAGAGAAAAGGAAGAAAAGGAAGGAUCUAGAAGAAGAAUCUGAUUUUUACUAACUGAAAUCUGUUACAUUGAGUCUCUAUAGGCUUGCAUUUAUAGUGUUGUUUGUUAGCUUCAUGUGUCAACUUUUAAUUAUCAAAAUAACCUACUUUUAUUUUCUUAUUUGUCGGACAUAUAAUAGAUCUGUCGGACAGAUAAUAGAGUUCUUGUUUUUAAACUUGAACUAGCUGAAAUGAUUGUUUCUAGUAUACAGAUUCUUGUACCCGAAUACAUACAAGAUAACAACAAAUAGCAACAAGUAAAUCCGAACGAAAGGGAGUAGUUCCUCCGUCUCACACUAUGAUUCCUAACAUUUCUCUCUCCUCACUUUCCUUUCACUGCUAUCAAUUCAAUCAGGAAAUACUUUCCUCCAUUCUACCCAGAAAUGAGUAAACAGAGCAAGUAUUGACAGUUGAGUGUAAUUACACAGUUUGACCUAAAACUAGGCCUUCAGCUAGGAUUUAGAAUGUGAUCACAGUUAGCUGGGGAAAUAAUUAUCCGAAACCAUUUAUACUCCAAAUUAUCCACAAAAUUCCAGUGUCACAUAUACACCACACUAAUACAUGAAAGUUAAACAGAUGAGCAAGCAAACACAGAUAACAUUCAGAUAUAAAAUAUGUUUCAGUUUCCAAAUUAGGAGGGUUAAUGAGAAUUUUCAGUACUAAUCCGUUAUCUUUAGUUACAUAACAUUUGUCGGGAAUCCUAAGACAGACGAAAUUUACUUUGGCGCUGCAAAACGUAGUUUCAUGAUUUUAUCCAAAUCAACAAACGGAAUGCUACUUUUGAAGUGGAGGACAAAAUGUCAAUAUCAGGAUGUUUCUCGAAUUCAGCCAUAACAUUCCCCAAUGUCUUAUUACCCUCAUGAACCCAGUUUUAGCGUAUUUUUGUCACCCUUUUGUACUGACAAUGGCACCUUUAUUACAUAAAAUGGGGCCCACAACAAAGGUGUCACGUUAGAUAAACAGGUGACACAUCAGCUAAAAAAGAUGACCAAAAUACAUUAAAAUUGAGUCUAGAGGGUAAUAAAACCCCCGUGAAUUAGAGUGUGUUGUAAAAAAUUUGGCCAUAGUUCGGGGGUAGAGUAUUCAUUUGUUCCAAUUUAUUAGACACACUUUAACGUUCACGGGGUCUUAGACUCUUAGUUGACAUGACACCUUUGACGUGGAUCCCAUUUUUAUGUAAAAAAGGUGUCAUGUCAACACAAAAAAGUGACAAAAAUAUGCUAAAAUUGAGUUCAAGGAGUAAUAGAUUUCAUGUGAAGUUGGAGUGUGUCGUAGCAAUUUUGGUCAUAGUUGGAGGGGUAUUUUUAAGAUACGAAUAUAAAGUAAUUAUAUUUCAUAUAAUGUAGUAAUAUUUUAUCUAUAUAUGGAGUAUGCCUUCAUUCCUAUUUAUUUUGGCACAUAUUUUCUUUCUAGUCUAUUCCAAAACAAUAACACUAUUUUUAUAUAUUAAAACGAUUUAGCUUUAAAAUCCACAUUUUAUCCAUAGUAAGAUAAUUAUUUCGACAUAAACGUUUACAUCUUGAUGUUUUAGAUUAUAAUUUCGAAAGUCACUUUUUUUUUCUUUAGCUUUGUAUCUAAUUAAAAUAAUGUCAUAUAAAUUGAGACGAAGCUACAUUGCCUCCCUUUUUCGAAAAUUUCAUACUAUAUAUGGUCUAUGUAUAUCCAUCAAAUAUUAUGUAUAUUAACUCAUAAACACUUCUAGCGAAAUUUCUGACUUUUUCACUGUACGAAAAAAAAUAUAAUUUUCUGAGUAGUCUUCACCGAGUGUAGCACCCCACCCCCACCCCCACCCCAUUUUAGAAUAAUUAAAAUUAUCGAUCUCUUUAUCAUUUAGAAAAUCAAAGCAUGACACUCGCAAAUCACGAUUACGAGAGUUGCUACCUUGGCUAGGGCUAUCUAGAGACUAUGGUUGUCUAGAGUAGAGUCUCGGUAUCGGAAAAUCAAUAGUAUACAACCGAUCCCGUUGAUCAUCUAACUGGUAGGGCACGUGUCACAUCAGAGGCGAAUGAUCAGAGGUGUCCUCUAAUCACCACGACGAGGCUGGUGGUAAGCGAGGGAGGAUUUAGUAAAGGGAUAUAAUGUCACUUUAUACUUUUUUAGUCCCGAGUUGAUAAUUAGAGUUAGAAACUUCACAACUUCCUCCACUCACCUCCACGGGUGCUGACUAACCUCGAUUUUUCUUCCAUAUUCAGCUGAACUCUUAAGGUUUGAUGGUUUCAUUCCUCCAUAUUCAACUGCAACAGAGAAUGAAAUCCUUAGAGGAGUCAAUUAUGGAUCUGGUGUUGCCGGAAUUCGCGAUGAAACCGGUUAUCGAUUGGUAAAAAAACUCGUUAAUAUUUGACCUAUAUACAUAAUAUACAUUUUUUGACGAAUGAUAUACAGUUAAAUUCGUCCCACUUAUGAAAUCCACCCAUGUCACACCCGUUCGACACAUUAAAAAAUUAUACAAGGGUCAUGACAAGUAGAUGCGUCAGAAGUUCCAUCUAGAUUACUUCGCAAUAUAAUGUAGUUUCUUUCAAAUUCAUUGAAAUUUUAUGUACCUAUUCUUGAAUGCUCGUUAUGUAUAGAGGAAUAUGAUCAUGCAUGUGUAACUUUCUAAGAUUUUACACAUAUAAAACUCGUUAAUAUUUGACCUAUAUACAUAAUAUAUAAUUUUUUGACGAAUGAUAUUCAGUUAAAUUCCUCCCACUUAUUAAAUCCACCCAUGUCACACUCGUUUGACACAUGAAAAAAUUAUACAAGGGUCAUGACAAGUAGACGCGUCAGAAGUUCCAUGUAGAUUACUUCGCAAUAUAAUGUAGUUUCUUUCAAAUUCGUUGAAAUUUUAUGUACCUAUUCUUGAAUGCUCGUUAUGUAUAGUGGAAUAUGAUCAUGCAUGUGCGACUUUCUAAGAUUUUACACAUAUAAAAAUCGUAAAUAUUUGACCUAUAUACGUAAUAUAUAAUUUUUUGACGAAUGAUAGUCAGUUAAAUUCCUCCCACUUAUUAAAUCCACCCAUGUCAUACUCGUUCGACACAUAAAAAGUUAUACAAGGGUCAUGACAAGUAGACGCGUCAGAAGUUCCAUCUAGAUUACUUUUUAAUAUAAUAUAGUUUCUUUCAAAUUUGUUGAAAUUCCGUACCUAUGCUUGAGUGCUCGAUAUAUAUAUAUAUAUUUACAUAUAUAUAUAAAUUACUAGAAUAUAAAAUUAUUUUAAUCUUUAACGAAUGAUAUACAGUUAAAUUUGUCCGACUUAUUAAAUCCACCCAUGUCACAUUGACACAUGAUUUAAUUGAAUAUUCUUCGUGGAAAUUCGUACUGCAAAAAUAGUUUUUUAAAAAAUUAUACAAGGCUCACAAGUAGACGAGUCAGAAGUUCCAUCUAGAUUACUUUUUAAUAUAAUAUAAUUUCUUUCAAAUUUCAUGUACUAUUCUUGAAUGCUCGUUAUAUAUAUAUAUAUAGUGGAAUAUGAUCAUUCAUAUGUGACUUUUUACACAUAUAAUACAUGUUAAUUCCUUCUAUUUUUUCAAGUGAAUCUCUUUAUGUAUAUCGCGAUGCCUAUUGUAUCGACUUGGCCUUUCAUAAGUUGUAAACGUUCAUAAUAAAUACGAUUAUUAUAUGUUGUUGAUUCAACACACUUUUUAGUUACAUUCUCUUGUAACAUACGAGAAAUGCAGGUUCAAAAUUCAGGUAUGAUAUUUUUCGAUUUUUGUAUCUCCUUAUCAAAAUGCUGACUCCGCCAUUACUUUCAUUUAUUGUUAAUGUUAUAUUAAUUCAAUUGAAAUACCAUAUUGUGUACAUUUUCAUUUCAAUUGACACUCCUUUCGUGGAAAAAUUACACUGUCCAUCUUGAUUAAAAAAGAUAUUUUCUUUAAUGUGUAUAGAGUAAAGCAUCUAGUACCCCCUUUUGAACUAGCUAUGACCAAAUUUGCAACGACACACUUCAACUUCACAGAGGUCCUAUUACCCCCAUGAACUAAGUUUUUGCGUCUUUUUGUCAAUAUUUUUAGCUGACGUGACACCUUUGACGUGAGUCUCAUUUUAUGUAAUAAAGGUGCCACAUAAACAGCAAAAAAAGCAACAAAAAUACGUUAAAAUUGAGUUCAGGAGGGUAAUAGGACCUCUGCGAAGUUGGAGCGUAUUGUAACACCUAUAUAUAUAUGGCUAUAGUUCGGAGGGGUACCCGAUACUUAUCUCAUGUGUAUAUAUAAACUACAUAUUGAUCAACAUAACACCCCUUGCAAGGCUCCUUCUGGGUUUACUUUUUUAUAUUCUGACACCUCGAUCUCCGUGAAAAUUCUGAUUCCACUAUUAUUAUACUUAUUUUUAUAUUGACAUGCCACUCCUUGCAAGGCUCUUUCGAGCUUACCUUUUUAUAUUUUGACACCCCCUUGCAAGACUCUUCUGAGUUUACUUUUUCAUAUUUUGGCACCUCGAUCUUCGCGAAACUUCUGACUUCACUAUUAUUAUACUAAUUUUUAUAUUGACAUGACACCCCUUGCAUGGCUCUUCUGAGUUUACUCUUUUAUAUUUUGACACUUCGAUCUUCGCGAAGCUUUUGACUCCACUAUUACUAUACUAAUUUUUAUAUUGACAUUACACCCCUUGCAAGGCUCUUCUGAGUUUACCUUUUUUAUAUUUUAACAGUUCAAUCUUCGUGAAAAUUCUGAUUCGACUAUUAUUAUACUAAUUUUUAUAUUGACAUGACACCCCUUGCAAGCUCUUUUGAGUUUGCUUUUUUAUAUUUUGACACCUCGAUCUUCGUGAAAAUUCUGACUCGCCUAUUAUUAUACCAAUUUUUGUAUUGACAUGACACCCCGUGCUAGGCUCUUCUGAAUUUACUCUUUUGUAUUUUGGCCCCUUAAUCUUCGUGAAACUUUUGAGACAUACUCGAACUUUAGAAGGGUCCUAUUACCCAUCUGGACUAAUUAAAAUAAUAUUUUUUGCAACCGUAGUGCCUACGUGGACCUUCAGUGUAUUGAUUCACUGAUAUGCCACGUAUGUGUCACGUAGGCACUAAGGUUGCCAAAAAUAAGGUUUUAAUUAGUACAGGGGUAAUAGAACCCUCCUAAAGUUCGGGUGUGUCUCUACAAUUUCGUAUAUAGUUCAGGGUGGAAACAGAGCAUUUUUUCAUUAUUAUACUAAUUUUUAUAUUGAGGUGACACCCCUUGCAAGACUCUUUUAAGUUUAUUUUUGUAUAUUUUGACACCUCGAUCUCUGUGAAAAUUCUGAUUCCGUCACUAUUACACUAAUUUUCAUGGAAAAUGACUUAUGUUACAGGGUGAUAGAAUCAGCUUGAACAAACAACUAUUCAACCAUCAAGUCACAAUGCUAAGAAUUACUACCAUACUUAGAAAUAGUACUGCAACAAGAAGUCUAUUUAAAAAUUGUCUAUACACUAUUGAUAUUGGCAACAAUGAUAUCUCAACAAUUUUUGCAACGAACAAUACUUUAUCCAUCAAGUUUGUUGUAUACACCAGAUAGAUUUGCAACCUUCCUUGUUCAACAAUUUGGAAGACAACUAAGGGUAAUUUUUACUACUUAUUUACUAAGUUUUAUUCGUAGAGGUCGAAAAAUUAGACCAUGAAAAUACGAUCGCACUGUCCGUUGAAGUUUGGACAGUUGCGCUACGCAUAUUUUGAAUAGACUCUGUGAGAACUUUUGAACCCUGCUUGCUUUAUCAGAAAAACUUUAGAGAAAAUGCACUGUUUCCACCCUAAACUAUACAUGAAAUUGCUGAGACACACCCAAACUUUAGGAGGGUCCUAUUACCCCGGACUAAUUAAAACCGUAUUUUCGGCAACCUUAGUACCUACAUGGCACAUACGUGUCCCUACGUAGACCUUCAGUGUGUUGAUUCACUGGUAUGUCACGUAUGUGCCACAUAGACACUAAGGUUGCCAAAAAUACGGUUUUAAUUAGUCCAGGACGGUAAUAAGACCCUCCUAAAGUUCGGGUGUGUCUCAACAAUUUCAUGGAUAGUUCAGGGUGGACUUUAAGAUGAAAAAUCAAAACUUGUUGAACUUGAAGUUUUUGUCCAUAGUGCAUGCAUGCAAGCCAGGUCAAAAGUUCAAAAUCGACCAGCCACCUCCAAGGUCAGUUUUGUAAAUCACCCGGCGCAAUAGAGUUUGUUCAUCUAAAUUUGUGAUGAAAUUGAAAUAUAACUAGAAAAAUUGUCAAAGAAAUCGACCAUUUUUUUCAGAUAAGCAUCCAGUAUACCCUUGAAUUAUGACCAAAGUUGCUAUGAUAUAAUCCAACUUCACAGGGGUCCUAUUACCCCCCUAAAGUCAAUUUUCGUGUAUUUUUGUCACCCUUUUGUGCUGACGUGACAUCUUUAUUACAUAAAAAUAGGGUCCACGUCAAAGGUAUCACGUCAGCUAAAAAGAUUGACAAAAAUAUGUUAAAAUUUAGUUCGGAAGGCAAUAGGACCCCAUGAAAUUGAAGUAUGUUGUAACAAAUUCGAUCAUAGUUCAGAAGGUACUAAAUGCUUUACCUUUUUUUCAAUAUGUUGGAUAAAGCAAUAGUAAAGGGAAAAGGGUUUUAUUAGUUGUAAUUGAUAAUUAAAUAAAUUAUUGAAAAAAAGACUUGGUUAGAGUUGGAUUUAUUAGACUACAACUCAAUAUUUAGGUAAAAAAACAAACAAACAGUGUUAACUGAUCACUUUUCGACUCUAUCUUUGAAAAAUAGUCACUAUAGCACGGAGUUUCAAACUCCACGUCAUUAUUUGAAUAUACCAAUUUAUUCUAUUCCGUCAAAUUUAGUUCAACGUGUUCAUUUCACACCACUAUUUCUAAUUACAUUAUCUUGAAUUUAUUAAAAAAAAAAUUUGUAUAUUUUUUUUUUUAGAUAUUGCAUGGCUUUGGAGCAAGGAAAGUGGCAGUAUCAAAUAUUGGUUUUUUAGGUUGUUUGCCAGAGAUUACCAGUGUAUUUGGAAGAAAUGCAUCUGGAUGUGCUGAUUUUGUUAAUAAUAAUGUUGAAUUAUAUAAUCAGAAAUUAAAGGUUUUAAUUGAUAAUUUAAACACUAAUCUUCCUGGUGCAAGGUUUAUUAUUUUAAAUCAGACUAGCAUUUCAACAGGGGGUCCACCUACUGGUAGGUUAAAAUAUUCUCUCACUCAUUAAGUUCUUCUGUUCAAUUUAUGUGACAUAAUUUUUGUAAAAUUAUUGGCAUAGCUCAUAAAAUUAAGAAAAAAAGGUUCGAAAUAUGCCUAAAUUUUGACAAAUUUCGUAGUAAUACGCCUCAAGCCCUCAACUUUACAAGGGUUUGAUGACCUCCCUAAAUUAUUUUUUAUAGUAUUUUUGUGGCAUAUAUUUGUCAGCUGGACCACUGCAUAAAUACACACGCACUGAGCGCGUGAGGGUGUGAAGUAGUUCAGCUAAACAAAUAUAUGACAUAGAAAUACGGUAAUAAAUAGUCUAGGAGGGUCAUAGGACCCCCGUAAAGUUGAGGCGUGUUACAAUAAAUUUCGCCAAAGUUUAGGUAUAUUUCAAAUUUUUUUUUUCUAAAAUUAAUGUUAUCUAGUUAGGAAGUCACGAGUUUGAGCUAUGAAACAACCUCCUGCGUAAAUACAGGAAGGAUUGUCUAUAAUUGCGCCUUGUGGCCCGGUUUUUUCCGAACCACCUAUAUAGCAGGAGCGCUUACACCAACCCUAAAGUCUAACCUAACCAUAUUGCCAACCCUAACCCUAGAACACUCUAAAAUAGAACCACAUUUGAUUGAAUUCUUCAUUUUGGUAUACACAAUUUUAGAAUCAUUUUAUACUAUAAUUGUGAGAUUUUUUUUUGUACCUCAUUGAUUAAGGUUAUAUAUAUAUAUAUAUAUAUAUAUAUAUGUUAAGAUUUAUGAUGUUCUUAAAACAUGUCAUAAUAUUUGCGUAACUGUAUGUUACUAUAUAUUAUCAUUGGAUAUUAAAAAUCCAAAUUCCAUCGCGAUAGGUCGAUAACGACCCAAACGAACUGGUUGUCAUUUGUUAGUCGCUAAAAGCUCGGCCGUUAAAAGUUGACGAGCGGAUUUUAGUUUAACCGUUAAAGAUCCAUUAGCGACGACAAAAAAUCAGGUUAUCAUGGUAAAGUUGUUGCCAUGUGAUUAGGAAGUCACGGGUUGAAGCCUUGGAAACAGCCUCUGACCUAAAUGUAAGGUAAGGCUGCGUACAAUACACCCUUGUGAUGGGCCCUUCAUCGAACCCUGCGCAUAUAUAGCCCUGAGCUGCUCUUUUAUGAAAUUGGAAUGCCAUCAGAUAAAUUGAAAUAGAGAGCGUAUCUCUUUUUUUUAUUCAGGUAAUUUAAUUAAUACUAUCAUUUAUUUUUUUUAAUUAAUUUCAGGUUUGACAAUUUUUGACCGACCAUGCUGCAAAGUAUUACCAAACACAACAGCGAAAGGACAAUGCAUUCGAGGCCAAAUUCCAUGCAACAAUAGGAAUGAAUUUGUGUUCUUUGAUAAUUUUCAUCCAACAGAAGCUGCAAAUUUGGCCAUUGCUAGUCGCUAGAAGAUCAUACACUGUUUUUGUACCGACCGACGCGUAUCUGGUAGACAUUAGGCGCCUCGUCGUACAAUCCUGAUACUGCCAGACAUCUCUACAACGUAACAUUGUUUAGUCGAAAAAAGAACUUGAAUACUAUAGUGAAAUGUUGUAAUAGUAAUAAAUCCUCUACAACAAGACCAGUUUGGUUACAUAAAUAAAGAUUGCCAACUGGUGUUAAUGUAGUUAGUGGGGGAAAAUUGGAUACAAAAUAAGGAAAUUUAAUGAAAUAAAUUUUCACUUGUUUUUUAUAUCUAUGCUCAUAAUUUACUUAUGCCAAGUCUUUUCUAUGACUCACUCAACUUUUCCUAAUAUGAACCUUGAGGCAUCAGAGCCUCUCUGACUCAGCCUGGCCCGGUCACCCUACGUGACUGGCUCUCCUUUCCAUAAUAUGAACCUUGAGUCAUCAGAGCCUUUCUGACUCGGUCUCGCUCGAUCACCCUACGCGACUGGCUCUCCUUUCCCUAUUAUGAACCUUGAGUCAUCAAGGCCUUUCUGAUUCUGCCUGGCCCGGCCACCCUACGUGACUGUCUUUCCUUUCCCUAAUAUGAACCUUGAGUCAUCAAACCCUUUCUAAAUCGGCUUGGCUCGGUCUCCCUACACAGCUGGUUCUCUUUUCCCUAAUAUGAACCUUGAGUCAUCAAAGCCUUUCUGACUCUGUUUGGCCCAAUCACCUACUCGAAUGACUCUCCUUUUCCUAAUAUGAACCUUGAGUCAUCAAAGCCUUUCUGACUCGGCUUGGCUCGAUCACCCUACGUGACUGGCGCUUCAAAAGACGAAACUCUCAAUCGUAGUUUGGUAGGCCACCCUAUGCAACUGGAGCUUCAAAAGACGAAACUCUCGAUUGUAGUUUGGCGACCUAUCUUUAGUAGGGCCUUUAGUCUUUUGAUUAGAGUAGGGGUUGCAAAAAAGGAGAGCAUACCACUCAGCCAUAGUCACUCAAAAAAUAAAUGAAAUGCCUAGUAACCGAACUACCAAGAUGUCAUAAAUGACUUGAGGUAGCUAUGAGAAAGAUAUAAAUGGCCAAAUAGUGCAAAAUUUAGAAAAUAAGCUGGAGUGUCAUUAAAACCUUCAACAUGGAGCCUUCCUCUUUUGAACGGUCUUAGAAUGAGAUAAGACAUAGAAAUAUAGAGUUUGCUAAAACUUACAAAUAUAGAAUCUAUACGUUAAAAGGAAGCUAAUGAUACCCAUAUCAUUUAUAUUUAAGAUGGGUCGAAAAUGAGUUAAAAAAAAUAGUCUAAAUGGAAGGACUAAAAUCAGAAUUUUAUUUUAGAAAUAUGUUACCAAGAUUAUAGGAGUCUAUAGUUGAAAAUUCAAGUGAAAACGAGUUAAAAAUGAGGCUUAAAUUGAAGGGGAAAAAACCAUUUUAAAGCUUUACUGAUAAAAGUUCUCGUAUUCUAGUUUGAAAUCAUUAUUAAAAGGCAUUUUCAAAGAUAUAAUCAAUACAAAAUGAUAGAACGAUGAAUUAGAAUCUUACCCAAGCAAGAAUAGUGAGGAAAAAUCGUAGAAAUCGUCUAUUCCUGAAGCUCCAAGGUCAAAAAAUGUUGGAAAUUGCGAAAAAAAAAAUCAUUUAUACUGUUCAGUGAAUAAUACUUUGUGAUCGCAAUUCCCAACUCGUGAUCGUGAAGGUCAACAUUCAUUAGAACUUAAGUUGGUCACCGUAGAGAAACACUUUGCGACCGCGAUGGUCAAACCCGACUCGGUCCAUCAAUUUACCUAUUGCGAUUGCGGUACCACCACCAUGCAAUCACAAUGAAGGAGAUCAUCGAGGUCUGCG